UUUUUUUUUGGGUGUUCUUUUUUUCUUUCCGGCCCUCGCACACGGGCUGAAUUUCGCAUCGGGAAUGGAGCUCGUUCGUUCGGGGGCCUUUGAAUUCGAUCGGGGCGAAACCCUAGCUUGGCUCUCGUCUCGCUUGCAUCGGAAUCUAGAAUCAGGUGAGCUUGGUGCUUGGGGCCGUUUGCCUGCCCUUUUAUUUGCUUGUCAUUUUGGUUUCAAAUCUCCUGCAGCUGUGGCGCUUCAUGAUCUUGCCUCUGACUGUGCGGUCCCACGGUUCCGGGAUCUAUGCACACGUUCACUUCGUGGGUUCUCCUUUAGAUUCUUGAUUUCGUCACUGGCUGUUUGGUUUUGCUGUGCCAGAUGAGCUCAGAAGACUUUGCUUAGGCUUGUGCAUAAAAGGUGGAUAACAUUGGAGAAUUGGAUUGAACAAGCUUUCUAUGGUCGUGAUUGCACUAGUAGCUUCAGUCUUGCUGUUUCUUCAGUUAACUAUGGAUCAAUUUUGGUGACCUGGGUUUCUCUCCUCGAGCUGCUGCUCUCCUCCUUUAGGUGUCUCAAGCAUGAGCAGAGUCUUUAGAAAAUGGAAACAAGUUCCAGCCUCUGCAACACAUGCAUUUGCUCUAGGCUGAGACAAUGAUAAAUGCAAAUACUAGACAUUGUGAUAUAUGGCAGAUCAUCUAUAACGGCAACCUCCAAUGCAUAACAUGUGCUUAUCUUCUUAUGUAAUUUAAUUUGCUUUCUACAGAUUUAGUUUUACUGUUUGUUGGGCUUUUACUUGAAACUGAGCUCCUAACCUUUUGUUUUCGUGUGAAGCCUAAUCUUUCAAUUGAUCAGGCAACAUUAUGGGACUCAUUGAAGUUUUAAUUUAAUGCUGUUCUAUUGAUUCUUAAUUAAUCCAACUAGGGCAGGCAACAUUUUUUUUGGCCCCUGUUUUUAUUUGUUACACCCAUUUUUGAAGCAUAAUUUGUUAUCAAUUGCAGUUAGCUCUCCUGUUGGUUGAUUUGUGUACUGGGGCAUACUGGAUUGGAGGAGCAAUAAAACUUGAAGAACCCGAGAAGUACUUUGAAUUUAAAUUUAUGUUCUGAUUGUAUGGAAUCCUGUUCCUGAGAGAUGCCAUCAUCCACGCCACCACUGCCACAAAAUUUGCUCCCACUACCAUCACCGGUGGUUGGGCAGAGCACUCGUAUUAACCUUGUGGACAUCAAACUAAAACUAGUCAAGAGAAUUGGUCCAGAGCAGGCAAAGAAGUACUUUGAGCACCUGCAGAGGUUUUUGUCUUCGAAACUUAGCAAGACUGUGUUUGACAAGCUAUGUCUCACGAUACUUGGUCAUGAAAAUGUUCAGCUUCAUAACCACCUUAUUCGCUCUAUUCUCCACAAUGCCUGCCAAACAAGUGGGCCGCCCACGGUCAGUGCACCUAAAUCAAUUGGAGCUGCCAAGAAUUCAAAUCAUGUCUUAGUUCCUACAGUUCUGGUCUCUGAAAAUGGUGAUGUUCUGCGUCAACAUGUGAAGGCCCACUGUCCACAAGGCAGAAAUGCAGAUGUUGUCGAGGAGAAUGGUGUUGUGCAUUUGACCAAACUGAAGAGAUUUCCACAGCCUGAACAAAGUGACCUUGUGGAACCACUGUCCAAAAGAUUACGUGUGGAAAAUGCAUAUUCAAAUUUAUCUGAGUCCCCAAAUAGCAACUGUCUUGAUGUUGUUGACAGAGAAAAUAUGGAAGCGAUUGCACAGCAAGCUCGAGAUCCAAUAACUGCCCCACUAGGGGUUGCCUUCUGCUCUGGUAGUUUUGGUGGGAGUUGGAAAACUUCAACAUUUUCCUCUAGUGUUGGCAGUGAUAACUCUGUUUGUUGCUAUGACCUUGGUCAGCUGUGCGAUACUUCAUCACUGAGACAGCGGAUGGGGAGAAUAGCAGAAACAGAAGGGUUAGAUGGUGUGUCAUUAGAUUGUGCUAAUUUAUUGAAUAAUGGAAUUGAUUUGUUCUUGAAACAGCUUAUUGGAUCUUGUAUUGAACUAGUUAGGUCAAGAUCUCAGCAUGAUCGAAUAAAUCAGAUGGCACUAAAGCAACGGUUAAGUAGAAAGCUAAUAAAUGGUGUACAGCUGCAAAAUCAGGUGCAUGGUCGAAGUGCCAAUACAUGUCCACAAAUCAGCUCCAUUUCAUUGCAAGACUUCAAGGCUCUAUCAGAGCUAAAUCCUCAGUUGCUUGGAGUCAAUGCGUCACUGCUACUUGAAAAAAUGAAUUCAUAUGACUAAUCAGAUAGGAUCCAAGUGAAUUAAUCUUUCUACAGAGAUUAAUCUUUGCCUAGCAGGCAUGAGGAUUGCAAGCUUGAAAUCCUAUCUUGGUCAAAUGCACCUUCCUUAUUGUACCUUUGGCAACAAUUAAGCCUGAACCAACGCCCUCUGUUUCCUGUGUGAGUUGUAGCACCACUCAGAAAAUGCAUCAAGCUGAGGUUGGAGUACCAAACAUGAAACACCACAGUGAUAAAGUGUGAGCCUUGCCAGCUAGCGUGCUUCUCCAAAAAUUUUCUGGUCACAGCAAAGUACCUGACUUGCUUCCAUGCAUAUCUGCAGCUGAGGUCUUCCUGUUUCAUCUCUCUUGCACUACAGCAAAGUCCAAGCCUGCCUCCAUAACUUACUGCAGCUGAGAUGUUGCUUCCUGUUUCAUCUCCAUUACUCAAAUGACGUUUUGACAUUCUCUGUCUCAUAUGUAGCAGACACCAAAUCUUCUCAGCGUGGUGUUUCGUAUGAUGCCUGGAGUAUGUUUUCAUAAUUUGUUGAUGGGCAGUGGAAGGUGCUAAUGAACAUUGUACAGUAUCCUGCUUCUGGUGAAGUCCACAGCCCACUAUUAAGACUGCUCCAUCAAAAUGAAUGAAGAUCACAUAACUUCUAGAGACUGUUGAUUAUACAAAGACACCAAUUUUGGCUUUUAUGCACUGUGGCAAGAUUGCGCACACAACUAUGGUGGUGCAGGGUUCAAAACAGAUUUAGAACAGGGCCUUCCAGCAUUAAGAGAAGUGAUCUGUAAGUCUGCACUAGUGUGGUAUAAAUUGUUACAUUUGUACUUCCGAGCAUGUAGAUACUACAGAAAUUGAUUAAUGUGGUGCAUUCAAUUUUGAUUUAGAGUUAGUUUGUUAUGUUUAGUCUCAAUCUAUGAGUGCAUUUCCCCUUUCUUUCAGAACUAUAAAAGUUACUCCCUCCUUUCCAAAUUGUAGGUCAUUUUGACUUUUGUAGAUUCAUAGAUAUUAUUAUGCACCUAGACAUACACUAUAUCUAGAUGCAUAAUAAUAUGUAUGAACCUAAAAAAGCUAAAACGACCUACAAUUUGGAACGGAGGGAGUACAAAAUAAGCCAUACUCUGGGAAUAACUUUUUUGAGUUGUUGUAGUUAGACCAUAAACUGUUGAAGUACCCAAUUCUCAGUCUUCUUUCUAUUAGGCUAUGUAAGUAGAAAACUUUAUGUUCCUUCUUCAAUGACGGGGUUCUAUUUUCUGCUAUUUUACUUUUGCUUUGUGCUGUGUGGAGUAAGUGAGAAGACCAAAUUUAGUUUAUUAGAAUUCAUAUUGGUUACUAUGCUACUGUAACUUGGAGUUUAAAUUUUGCAUUACUUAAUUUAAUUUGUGCCUAUAUAUUAAUAACAUAGCGAAACAGAUUGAUAUGGAUCAAGUAUAGAAAAAAAACGAUAGAUUUCGCUAGAUAACAGGCGCAACAGAAAUACAGGCACAAAAAAGUCACUGGCUCCACAUUUUGGGUUUCAGCACAAAAAAAAUGAACUUUGAAACAUUGUGGAAUUAAGAGAUGCAACAGACUUGGGUUGGCUGAACCUUAUAAUCUGUAGGGAUGCUUAUGGAUAAGAUGCGUGGAGAUGAAAAGCAUCUUGUGCUAGUUGCUGGGUGCCUUUGGUUAGAAAAUUUUUAUUUCAUCUCGUGUGUGAGACAGUCCCAAAAUUGGUUUACCUUUUUCAUCACAUAAUCACAUAAUUACGGGUCCUAACUUGCAGAAGUAGCAGCAAUUUCACUCAAUUCCAUAACAGUAACAGACUAACAGUCACAUGCAUGAAUGGAAUGAAACAUAUGAACAUCUACUCUUCACAAUUGAGUACACAUUUUCAUGAACCAGAGCAGUUUUUUACUUUGCAACAUGAAAAGAAGGUUUGUUUUCAGUGCUCCGUCAGUUCCUCGCGUCCAUUCUCACUCUCAGCUAGACAUGGCAGUCUCAAAUCUCCCCACCAAGGCCAUUACCUUGUUCUUCCUCUCCUGGAUAGGCUUGCUCCUGCCCUCCUCUGUGACUUCAUUGCUCCUCCCAUCGUCCUUCCUCCACCUCUGUGCCAACUCCAUGGUCUUCGCUGGUAGCAUUAUUUUCUCUUCCUUAGGUUUGGCCUCUUCUUGUACAAUUAACUUAGGUUCAGCAACAUCAUCCUUUAACUCAGUUUCACUGGCAGCUUCUUUUAAUACAGUUUCACAGUCAGCUUCGGUUAACUUGAUUUCAUCAUUAGCUUCGUUUAGCUCAGCUUCACUGACAGCUUCGUUUAGUUCAGUCACAUUCACAUCAACAGAUUCCUUUAGCUCAGUUGCACUGACAUCUUCCUUCAACUCAGUUUCAUCCGCAGCUUCCUUCAAUUCAGUUUCACUGUUAGCUUCUUUUAGGAUGUUUAUAUCGCUGUUGAUUCCAACAUCAGCAUUGUCACCUGCAUUCAGGUCUUCAUUGUCUUUUCGUUCGUGUUUCUCUUCUGAAAUGUCCCCUGUAUUCUCAUUCUUGUAUUCCUCCUGACUAGAUGAUGGCUUGCUAUUGACAUCCACAGAUUGCAGAUCAACAGGGUCAGGGAGCCGUUCUUGCAAGUGUUCUUCUAUGGAAGAGGUGCUUAUGCUCUCUGUCUCAUCAAAUUCCAUCAACAGCUCGACAUCUUGCUCCUCGAUUUUUGGUGUCUCUAUUUGUCCUUCCGGCACACUUCUUGUCCUCUGGAUAGAGAUAGAAUUUUGAGCACCUGUUCUUCUCUUUGCUACAGUACCAGGAGCACGGGUCGAAGAUGCAUCUUGAGAUUUUCCAGCUCCAAGAGGUCCUGCCACUGAUCUCUGAGUUUUCAGCUUCACAGAAGAUGUUGCCAUCUUCUCGAUACCAGGCCUUGUAGAGAGGUUACUCUUCUGCACGAUGGAUGGCGAUUUUGCUGUCCUGGUCAUAUUCUUAGAUGAAGCAUUUGGUGUUGCAAGGGCUGCAGGCCACACAGAUGUGGCACCAGGCUUCUCUACUUUUUUCCUCAUUGUGUUGCAUUGCUUUGCACUGGCCAGAGAAGCAGAGUGCAGUGUCUUUCCGUGAGUGGAAGAAGAGCCCGAGCCAGACGUGGACCGGGAUGAGGUGGUGCGCGUGCUGAACGAUGAUGAGGGUCGACAUGUGUUCGAUGAGCUUGAGGCAGGGGAUGGGGAUAAUCUGCGAUCAGGAGAGGUUGGGACGGACCUUGCACGCCGUAGCGCUUGGUCAGACUCGCUUGAUUUGAGCCCUGGGGACAUAUUCCGGACGCCCUGGUUGACCCUAGCAUUUGGUUGAGGCUCCCUCCUUGAUGUUGCCAUUGUGUCUAAGCUAUUCUGCCAACAAUUAAAAAAUGCAGAAAUUAAUGACGCUUCAAGUACUAUCUCUAUCUGCCUCUGGGUUAUGAACUGCAACCAUUUUGAUGCCAUCACUGAAAAAAGUACUAGAUCCGCAUCGUAUAUUACCAUAAUUGGGCUUGAUGACUAGCAAAUCAACAUGUUAUGAAUGCUUAUAUCUUUUCAUGUGCAGUUUCAUCUAGGAGAGCAGGCAAAUAAUUGUGGACAAUAGACGGCAAGGCACAAAGGGUGAUGGAUAGAAAGGAAAUGGCGCGGUUCGAGGUAAAUCAUACUGAUAAUCAGAUAAAACAACAUAAAUACUUUUCAGAGCGGGCCUUCAUGAAUUAAGUUCUUAUUUGCAUGCCAUGCAUAGACAUCAUACAAUCCCCAAUUGAUGCCUACCAUCCAUGCUCAGAUGCAAUGAUCAAGAAUGAAAAUUCGGUAGCCAGGGGGAUCUAAAUUACGCUGCCAUUCUGCCAAUAAAGAGGCCAGGAAACCGUACCUGAGCUGAUCUCAGAGCUGCUCACCAGAACCCCGGAUGCUGAUCAAUCUCUGCAAUUCAAGGUCAAGAAUUCAAGCCGGAGAGAACAGAAAAUUUGCGUUGCAGUUCCCACUUUUUAUGGCCUGCCGCCUGCACCUGGAGGAUCCAGGUGGUUGCGGCGUUGAAAUAGCCUGAGAAAGGGCACUGGCUGAAAAGGCUCUUGAAUGUUUGGCCCUUAUGCUUCCGUUUGUUGGCUCCGGUGGACGUUCCAUAAAUAGUCAGCUGAGACGCCCCUCCAUUCAUGAUUCAUGGGCCUGUGGAUCAGCCGUUUCGUGUUUUCUAGCCUAAUAACGGAAGGCGCGGUUACAUGCCCGCCUGUCUCUGAACUUUAAUUUUGUUGCUGGCACGCGUGUUCCCUGCUGCGGAUGUUGCAUGUCCGUAUCCUUGUGUCACAUGUUGCCGCAGGAGAUGACAUGAGUUUAGCAUGCGAUGUGUACACUUUAGGUAUGCCAUGCAAUUAUGCUCCUGGGCAUCGUGGGGGCUCAAUCCUUUAUGUUGUGAUGAUCAUUGACCAGUGUUCUGAAGAAAAGGUAUGCCUAUGGAAUUGGUAUACUUGUGUUGUUGAUCCUUCUCCACCUGUUUUGAACUCCUAUGAUAGAAUUUCCGAGCCUAUUGCCGAACUUUCCUUAGGACGCGUGUCAAAUAUGCAAAAAUUGACCUGACAAACGGCCUUUAGGAUCAGUCAAAAGCUUGGACGGACACGCUGCUUUAGAUAUAUACUGCCUCUGUUCUAACCCCUUCUACGCAUUGACGCAUGGUAUCAGCAGGAGCGGAGCUGCACCCCGUGCUGGGGGUGCUGCAGCACCCCCUUGGCCAGAAUUACUAUAAAGCACCCAUAUGGCCAUAUGUAUUUGCUCACAACAUUAGAAAUAGAUAGAUCAUAGAACACUAUUGCUCUUUGAUUUUAACUCAUGCAUGCUCCCUCUUUAUGAGUUCCUCUCCAUCGGUCAUUGUUGCUUAUCCCAAUCCCAGUGUCACAUCCUCCUAGCUACCCAUGGCACAUCCCCAGCUUUGCUCCUCAGGUAGCAGCACCAACACAUAGCACCCCCUUUGUCCCAUUCCUAGAUCCGCCACUGGGUAUCAGCCUAUCAGGAUGGCAGCACUGCACGGCUGCACCACGUCAAGGAAAUAGAGGUAAGGAAACCUACCCGAAUCAUGUUUACAAUCAGAGAAUAAUAACCCUGAAACAAUAUAACCUUAUUGCGAUUUUGUAAGGCCCUUAUUUGUAUAUAGAUUCACUAUCAGUUUGGUCUAUGCAGAAAUCACACAGUUCACCAAACAUGCUGGUUCAUGCACGGAAGGGCGGAAGGCAAUACAGAAACUUCAGAACUAAUAAGCAAGGUCGUCUGCACUCUGUAGAGCGAUCAACCAAUUCUUUCAUUUCCAAGUCCGUCAACAGGUAUCUGAAGGUGUUUGACAAAAAUUAAUACUAACUCUGCUGUUAAUUCCAUCAUUUUAUGCCGUAUGCCCAAUCGACCACUCUUUGAAGAAAAAAUAAUACUUAGUCUUUUGGCUUAUUCACAUAUCAAUUGGACCUCAAACUCCCAUGUGUCUAUAGCGCCUCGAUGGGGCAAAUAGUCUCAAGAAUGGAAUAUGAUGAAGUUUUUCUCAUUGUCUAUGUAGUCUUCCUUUCCUUUUUCUUAGUAAAAAAAAAUGAAGGAAUACCACCGUCAACUUCCACAUAAGUAUGAUCUUAGUAUCAGUUUUAGAAAAAUGAAUAGUCUUCAGUUGUAUAAGUUGUUUGUUACCUCUUUCAAUUUUGGGGUUUCCCACGGUGCGUGCACUAGAACAUCGUCCAGCAUUCAGCUUCCCAGGUGUUGCAAACAUAACUCUCCAAUUGUGCUCCCAGUAUAAAUAACAAUUGUUUAGUUAUUAAUUAAUUUAGAUAACAUGGACUCCUAAAUCCUAAUUUAGGUAUUUUGGUUUACUUUUUACAGGGUCGUCACAGCAGCGUGUGGGCUUGUAGCGCAGCAACACUGUUUGAAGUCUCCAGUAAAUUUGUAUUAGAUCGACUGUCAGCGGAUCUCCCCUGUACCUCAUAACAUGACGGUUAAUGUGCUGGACUUCAGGUCGCUGGUCAGGCAGCAAAGAAAAUGCCUCGCGUGCCGCAAGGCAAAGAGAUUGGCUGGUCUAAAAGAAAAAGGUAGGUAGGUCGGUAAGGAUUCGCAAGGGACUAAUUCUCGUCAAAUUUUCUAGUUUGAGACUAAAUUUCAAGCGACAGAAACAUAUAUAUCGACCCAAAUACCUGCCCUCCGCAUUUCCCUAAUUUUGUUUGAAAGACAUAAUAAUGCUCGCCUUUUCAGAGUUAGUAAGAGGGAUCAAGAACCAUCGGAAAAUUCACCUUUAAUCCCGGUUGAAACUGGACAGACGCUCCGUAGUGAACUUCACGGAGUCAAUAAUCUAAAAAUAAUGGUAGAACAGAAGAAUUUCGAGUACUCGGGCUGAAUAUCAUAAAGAAUCUUAAAAUAAUUAUCCAAACAUCUUUUGGAGCAAGUGUCACAUUCUCAUAAUACAAGUAUGGUGGCAUACAAUAGCUCGUCCAGGCAAAAGAUAUGUUCACUGAGCAUGACCCAUUUUGACAAGCUAAAACCAACCAAAAGUCGAUGGGUCAAGGUCAGUGAACAUAUCUCUGCCCGAACAAGCUAUUGGACCACCAUACUUCUAUUAUGAGAAUGUCGCUCCAAAAGGCGUUUGGAAAACUAUUUCAAGAUUCUUUUAUGAUAUUCAACCCGAGUUUGUGGACUCGAAGUUCUUCUGUUCUACCAUUAUUUUUGGAUUCUUGACUCCGUGAAGUUCACUAUGGAGCGUCUGUAGUCUUUAUUAGUGUAUCUUUAUUGUCAUGUUCCACAAUUGUAGCAUUAAGUUGACCGGUGUAAUUUUCAUGUCACUCUAAUUUAACAUGCAAACUAUCCAAAAAAAUUGUAGCAAUGACCAAAUUCUAUUUCUUACACCUACAAUAUAUUUACAAAUUAAUCAUACAAACUAAAAUAAUGGUACAACAUAGCAGAAUGUUCACCAUCCAAGCCAUCUCUGCACAUGACUCAAUCUUCUACGAAGUCUAUGAAGAGCCACCUCCACUCCUCCACUACCGGAGAAUAGUGUAAGCACAUUCAUACCAUGUGCAGACACUAUUCUUUGGUAUUGGAGGAGCAGAGGAACCAGCUCUUUAGAAUAUUCCUCCAAGUCUAUGGAGAGCCAUAUCCGCUCCUCCAAUACCAAAGAAUAGUGUAAGCACAUUCAUACCAUAUGUAGACACUGUUCUCUAGGAUUGGAGGAGCGGAGGUGGUACAUCUGGUCCAUCUGCAUCGUAUUACGUGAAAAAUGAACAUAGGGUUUCGUAUUAGAUAAAGAACUUGAUCAAUAUUAGGUAUGGGAAAAAAUAGGGUAAAUGUAUUUAUAAUAUUUAGUCCUUGCAAUAAACAUGAUAUAAAUAAAUUAUUGGUCAAAGAAGUAGAAUUAUUGUUAAAUUAGAGUGACAUGAAAAAUUGUAGCAAUGACCAAAUUCUAUUUCUUACAACUACAAUUUAUUUACCUUAAUUUUAUUGAAAUGACUAAAUACUAAAAACACAUUUACUCUAUUUUUUUCCCAUACCUAAUAUUGAUCAAGUUCUUUACCUAAUACGAAUCAUAUAUAACAAGCAAGCUAUCCAUCAAAUUCUAGCUCAAAAACAUAUAUAAAUAAAAAUCCUCUCCAUUCUCCCUCAUUAUAAAAAACUCAUUUUUCUAUAUCUCUAAAGCAUAAAAUAAAGCAUAAUAACAAUAAAUGAAGGGAGGAUGAAAUAUCUAACCUUUACAACACUUUGGAUGAGUGAAGUCCCCACGGAAACAAGAAAAAAAUCGAGCAGCACCUCCCUAAGGCUGCUUGCUCGCCGUGGAGAAGGAGGAAGAAGGUUUGAUGAGUGGCUCGGGCUCGGGGAGGAAGAAGAUAAAUUUAUAGACAAGGAGCUUUUGUAAUUUCCAAACAGGACUAAAUCUUUUAUCCCAGUUGGGAAUUCCAACUAGGACUAAAGGGGGGAUUUUUGUCCCGGUUGGUGUUUCCCACCAGGACAGAAGUGUCAGUGUUUAAACCCGGCAAACUACCAAGCGGAGUACCCAAGGUAGAGUUUUGGUUGGUGGGUGUCGCCAAAAUCAGGAACUCGAUGGUGUAUGUAGGCAUGCGAUUUAGAUAGGUUCAAGCCGCUAGAUCGCGUAAUACCCUACGUCUUGUGUGUUAUUUGCCUGUAUUCAAUUGAACCCAUCUGGAGGGGGUCUCUGCCCGUCCUUAUAUAUCAGAGGAGCAGGGUUAUAGGUCGAUUAUUUUAUAGGAAUACUAGUCGGAUUCGACCAGAGAGUUCUACUCUAACUGCUAUUAGUAGUUUCUAAGUCCUCAACUAGAUCCUAUCCUCCACGUAGACUAUGCCGUCCUGCAUCGCAGUCUCUAUGUCUAACACGUCUCGGUGCACAACCCUAUAUGUGGGUCUGUCCAAACCUUCUGGUGGGCCCAUGGAUAUAUGUACAACAAGCCCUCGAUUAUGUUUUAGUCAAAUGCAACAGUUCUGAGUACCUUUACAGGCUUCAUCCGACUAGUUUUUGGUGCUUUUCUGAGUACUCUAUCGAAGUUGCGCCUUCAAGUAACUCGAGUACUGCCAUGCGGCUAGAAUGUGCUCAAGCCUCAUCCAACGCUGUCUUGAAUAUCUGUCCUUGAAUCUAUAUAUAGAAGUGCGAUGAAAACUGCACUCCAUAUGGAGUAGCCCCCAAGCCUUAGGUUGAAUCAAAGAAUCAGGCUGAGGGUCUGCAUCCGCGUUGUCUUCACCUUAAACUCUGGAGAAAAAACUUUUUAGCCGAUGGGCACGUGGCACACAACCCCCGAGCCAUUACCCGACUAGUUUCAGGAGGUAUAAGGAUCAACCACCAGUCAUUGUGACCAUCACCAAUAGUAACCUUAUCUUUUGCGAUAACUUUGGAAACUGACGGCCAUAUGCGAAAUUAACGGCCAGAAGCGAAAACAUCGGGACCAUUACCUCCGUUUACUCUGCUUCUGUUCUAAAUAGAUGAGGGAAGUUACCCCCCAUUUACUCCACCAUUGCCAUCUACUAUUUGCGCUUCGGAAAACCCUACUGCCCAACGCCGCCGCAAUCCAAUUUGAGAUCACCAAUGCCACCUCCCUCUUAUGAGCCCUCGAGCGUAUGCGCGUGAAGCAGCUCGUGACAUCCAAGAUGGGGAGAAAAGCUUGUGCUUCCAGGGGUGCUGAAGGUUCCAAGAGGAGGCCUGGAAAGGAGAAGGAGCUGCAGCUGCCUCCGCCCAAGUAUGGGAAGACAAACCAAAUUGCACCGCCGAGUCCUGCCUGUGCUUGGAAGAAAUCGACCAUAAAGGAAGAGGAAAUCCAGGCAUUGGAGAAGGCGAAGCUGCUACAGAAUCAAGCAACCGUAGGCUGGAGGUGUGCUUUCGGUAAUGCAUGGCCAUUUGAAGAGUACCCCGAGGAGAUGGUAACCUUUGCCCACUUUGUCGAGCAGGAUUUUGCUAUCCACUCCUCUAAUAUUCUGCGGGGUCUUCUGGAUUAUUACAAGCUUCAGCUGGUCCAUCUCAAUCCAAAUGGUAUUCACCACAUUGCUAUUUUCGUGCACCUGUGCGAGGCUUUCUUGGGGAUUCAAUCCCACCUUCAACUGUUCCGUAAGAUAUUCCAGGUGAAGCCGCAGCCAAAACUGGAGUGUACUGCAGUAGUCGGGGGCGCUGAAAUUCAGAUGCGGGAGAAUAGUAGUAGCUUGUACUUGGAGUAUGAGUUGUUGGAGUCACACUCUAGGUGGAAGGAGAAGUGGUUGUACAUUGGAGACCAUGAUCCAAAGCUGCCAAAGGUGACUGGUCACCAUCCAAAGUGGAACAAUAGGUGGAUAGACGAGCCGACGCACGGGAAUAGUCUUCAAGUACCCGAGCUCUUAGGCAAGAUUGCCCAAUUGAAGAAUCAAGGACUGACAGGAGUUGGAGUAGCCUUUAGUUUUAUGAAGAAGUGAGUUCAACCCCUGCAGCUCCGCCACACCUGGGGCUAUGAGUACUUGGGCCUCAACGACCCGUCAAGGAUGAUGACUAAAGAAAUCUCCGUCGAUGGGGUGAUGGCGAGGUUGAAACGCUUCUUUAAGAACGCCAAUGAGAUCGCCCGAGUAGUCCUGGAGUUCAGCGCCGCUAACCCGCCGAGAGUAGUAAGUAACCGUGGCUUUAGCUCCCAAGUACUUAUUAGAGGUCUUUCUUGCCUUUUGAUUUGUCUACCUUUAUAUAGGAAGACAUACUUGUGUUUUAUUCACCCCCUCCUCCCCUGGCUCCGACGAUAUGGAGAGCACCCCAUGGGUGUUUGGGUGAAACCUUGUUGUACUAGGGGCCACCGAGGAGGAGGAGGAAGAAGAAGAAACUGAGUCCUUUAGCAGCCUAGACUCGAAUGCUGCUGGGGCAUAAUGUGUGAAGGUCUAUGCCUCGGACAAAGUUGGGACGUCCUCUGGCUCAUUGAAGCGCCUUGCGGAUGAUGAAUUUGAGACUGCUCUGGCCCCGCCACCGAAGAAGAAAUGGAUGGUCGGCAGGACGCGCGCUCCGGGUAGUCUGCGCAUCGUCGAAUCCGCACCCCCGCCGAUAAUAACCUUCGAGGAAGGGCAAGACCCUGAGGUAUGGGCACGAUUAUGCAGGUAUGUUGAUGUCACGACUACUAAUCAGGACUUGUUGUAUCUGCAGGUAGUCGCGGAGGUAGUCAAGGAGACGGAGGCGGCAGCUGGCGCCGUCCCGCCUGAAGUUCCAGUGUCUGGGGAGGUCGUCAUGGUUGAAGAUGGUCCUGAGCCUCCCGCUACUGAAGUCAAUCCUGCGGGUACUGAGGUAUCCGCACAGGAAGAAGGUAGGACUACCAUGGCUGGUGGUAGUCAGGAUGUGCCGCAACAUGCCUCGCCAAGGGAUCCUGCCCCCACCAUUAAGCCCCUACACUGGGUGGGGAAGCCGUCGCUAAAGCUGCAACGGUCUGCAAGGUAAAUUGAUUCGAUAUGGUUGAGUACCAAUUCUAGCUUGAUAGUUGGUUGUCUUCCGUCACUAACGCUAUGUGUUGUGCAGGAUAUCUUCUAGACUGGGCCUUGGGUUGUCGGGUUCAAGGUCAACAACUGAUGAUGCUAGCUGCUCGGUUGAAGAUGUAGCCCCCGCGCCUACUGUAGCCCUGGCCGAGGGAGAUUCAGCUCCGGCGGUCAAGACAGGUGCCGCAUCACUUGUCGCUACGUUGAUGCAUGACAUAAUCGACUCGAUGGUUGACAAUGCAGUGCCAUCCCUCGAGCCUACUGUACCCGGGGCUCUUCCCAUGGAUAUUCUCGUGGAGAGUCCGUCCCCACCUAUGAUCAUGGAAGCUAACCCCCUUAACGCUGCUGCUCCCGAAGCCCCCAAGCUUGAAGCCGCCUGAGCCCUUGAAGCCGUGGCUGCUGCUGUCGGGAUGACUUCCGAAGCUGGCACGUCAUCUGGCCGUGAGAUGGUCCUAUUUCCCAGCAUGAGGAUCGAGCCGAACAUUGAGAUUCGGGUGCUGCUCGAGGAGGUCCAGCUGAUUGACGAUCCUCUGCUAGAUGCGCAGACGGUGGCCACCAUACUCGAGAUGAACCGGCACGUCACGUCUUACACCGAGGUAAGUUUGAACUUUUUCCUUAUGCUUUACUUCUGAAUGUUCGCAAUUUGUACUCCAUGCGGUACCCCAGUACUGAUUUCUGGAUAAUAGGACUUGAUCAACCGCUCCUACUGGAAGUCCCAAUUGUUGCGGGACUAUGGUGAGACCGUACAAUGUGCUGUGGUGUUGGAGAAGGAACUGGUUGAAGAGCGAUAGCAAACCUCCCGACUUGUCAUGAAGCUUGACAGCACGGCGGCAACCUUCCGGGCAUAGAUACAGGAUUUGGAAAAGGAAAAUGGGCGUCUUGCUGCCCGGAACAAGUCGUUGAAUCAAAUGCUUGAAGGUGAGUACUGAUAUUUUUGUUGUGUUCAUCUGUUGGUAGCCUAUAGUCUUUUUGACUAACAUUGGGUCUCUGUUUGUGCAGAGUAUAAGAAUCAGGAACCCCGGUUGAAGGCUUCUAUAACUCAUUGGAAGAACGCCUACUACCGGACCACUGAUCAACGUGACAUGCUCGAGUAGCAGGUGUCCAAGCUGGAGCACACUUGGAGAAGGAGAUGAAGAUGCGCCAAGAUGGUAAAGUCAAACUAAUCAAUGUCAUGACGACCAUCCAGGCGCAACAAGUCGAGCUUGGGGCCUAUAAGCUGGAGCUGCAAGAGCUGUCUGCAGUAGCUCGGCCAUUGGCUGACAUGGUGGAGCCUCCAGUCGAUGGCGCGGAUCCUCACCCACCUGUAGAGAGACUCCAAGAUGUGCCGGGAAAGAUCGCAGGCUGUGUCCAGGGGAUGGCGAAGUCCGUCUCAAAAUAGUUGCUAGCCUUCGCAAAGUCCUUCUACCCCGAUGCCGACUUGUCUCCUGUCGUGGAAGGGAUAGCAGGAGAUUACACGGAUGAAGUCUUCAAGCAGUAUCUGAAGGAGGUGAAUCCCAUUGCCGAGGAAGUCACCAAGCACCUGGAUCUGCAAUGAAUUCCUUACCUUUUGGGAUAGGAGGAACAUUUAGUUUUGUAAUGGGAUAAAAGUGUAGAUAACUUUAAAUCUUAGUGCAAUUUGUUACUCUCGACUUGUCAUCUAUUGUGUUUAGUGCUUCUCACACUUGUUCCUGAUUUUUCUCGUACGACCGAGGUGAGUGUCUGCGCACAAGGCUACUAUUGUGAGCCUCUUCAGAAGCAAAUUGUUGGGUACUCGUGUACUCGAACUAUCCAGUAGUAGACAUCAGGUAGUUUCUUUAGGAUUCCGCUGACUAGGGCUUAUUUCCUCGACUCCCCUGAGUAGAGUACAUGCAUGAUUGCUGCUUUGUUAGGAAGGCCACAUGGGGGUGCUGCUUGUCCGUGUCUAGUAGAUAAAGUUGAGAAACAUGUGAACAUUGGUCGUCAAAGUCCUGACGAUAAGGACAAGCGUCACAUGAACACUGUAUAGGCGUGAUGUGCAUAGGGAACUCUGCCUUGUGUUCAUGGGCGCAUAUUGUAGCACUCUGGAUGGUAGCCGGUUGCCUUGGCUAUAAAUAGAGCUGCAUCUGCAUUCGAAGUGUUCAUGACUCAAGUUAUAGCGCUUAUUGGUUUGAGGCUUUUGUUGUUCAUCAGGGGUAGCUUCCACCAUAUUUACUGAUGCCAGAAGAAUUCUCGUGAAGAAUACUCAGGUGCUCCUUUCCUCUACAGUCUCUUUGGCCAAGUCUUGAGGCCAUGAUGCUAGAAGAAUCCUCGUGAGGAAGGUGCAUCGUGUGCCCCAGGCUUUGUCCAGGACACCGCUGAGGAAGGCUUUUGAGCGCAGCUUUCUUGCAUUCACUCUUUUUACUUCUUCUAUGUUGAAGCUGCUUGCCCUGAGGUUAGGGUAGUCCCGGGACUGUUCACACAUGCUUUGUGAUAUUGUAAAAGCCUGGGACUUUUGUUGUAACCUUAAUGAAAGCACGUACGCCUUGUUGAUGAGAUGUUGCUGUCUUGUUUCUUUGGCUGUUUUGUUGCUGUGCCCUAGGAACCUGGAGCUAUGAAACUCGUUAGUACGAGCCAUGUUAAGAUAGAUUUGUAGUAAAUAAGUAGUCGAUCGGGUAGUUUGUGGACUCCCAGAUGACUUGAUGGCUCUUGUACUUCUAGUUCGCUUAGCGAACUGCCAGGUAAGUUGAAUAACUCAUGUAGACUUGUAAUUACAAGUCAUAUUGGGGCGUUGUGGCCCAAAGAGCUCAAUGGCUCGUUAGGAUGUUGCUGACCCACUUUUGCGAGCUGCAAUGGUGGCGAGAAUAAGUAGUCGAAUUUCAUAGAAGAUAACUGCAUUAUUAUGCUAAAAACUUACAAAGGUGGCUAGUGGCCUAUUUACAAUGAUGCGUAGCCUUCUGACUAUGGAUAGAAUCGAUAGAGAUGCUCGAUGUUUCACGAGUUGUCGACAUCUUUGCUAGAGAGGUGUUGUAGCCUGUACGAUCCUAGGCCUGUGACCUUGGAUAUGAUGUACGGCCUUUCCCAUGGCGAAUUAAGCUUAUGCAGCCAUUUGGUGUCUUGGAUACGCUUGAGGACCACGUCGCCUAUGUUUAAAGAACGUUCUUUGAUGUUGCGAUCAUGAUAACGGCGAAGGCCCUUGAGGUACCUUGCAUACUGGACGAGUGCUGCAUAGCGGGCUUCUUCUAAGCUGUCAAGAUCUAGACGCUUGUCUCCUCUGCUACCCCUAUGUCAUAUUGCUCAACUGUUGGGGAUUUCCACAUAACUUCAGCAGGAAGGAUAGCUUCUGAUCCAUAGACCAGAAAGUAGGGCGACUGCCCCGAAGGCUUGCACGGCUGAGUACGUAGCCCCCAAAGGACGUUGGGUAGUUCUUUGAGCCACUUUCCUCCUUUGGUAUUGCCAAUGUCGUGCAAUCUUUUCUUCAAGGCUUCUAGUUGCAUCCUGUUGGUGCGCUCAACCUAGCCAUUGGUCCACGGGUGAGCAACAGAGACAUAUCGAACGUCGAUGCUGCUGUUUUUACAGUACUCCCAGAACUCGUGAUUGUUGAAAUUGGAACCCAAGUUUGUGAUUAUCUGAUUGGGGAAUCCAUAGUGGUGGACGAUCUCAUCGAGAAAAUUGAGUAGUCUGUCUGCCUUGGGGUAGGUUACUGGCUUGACCUUGAUCCACUUGGUAAACUUGUCGAUGCCUACCAGUACUCGGUUGAAUCCUUCGGGUGCUGUAGGAAGCGGAACAAUCAUGUCGAGCCCCCAGCAUGCGAAGGGCCAUGAUGGCGGUAUAGUGAUAAGCUUGUAGGUAGGGACAUGCUGCUGCUUGGUGAAGAAUUGACAACCCUAGCACUGGCGGACUAGUUCUUCAGCGUCCGCUAGGGCGGUGGGCUAGUAGAAUGCUGCUCUAAAAGACUUGCCCAUGAUUUUAUGUGAGGAUGCAUGGUUACCGCAAAUGCCGUUGUGUAUCUCCUCCAAUGUGUCCUUGUCAUCUUCUCGUGUGACGUACUUCAUGAGUACUUCUGAAGAUGUGCCUGUUCUGUAGAGCUUGUCCCCGACUAGAACGUAGUUCUUACUUCAUCAUAGGAUCUGCUCUGCCCGUGUCUUGUUUGAGGGUAGUUUUUGCUCCCUUAUGUAAUCGAUGAAUGGGGUUCUCCAAUCCACGUCAAUCAUCAUCACCCCCUCUAUCUGGCGCCUCAAAACCACGAGUUGAGCCAAGUUUGGACAAGACAUCCGUGGCGACAUUGUUGUCGUGGACUACAUGGUGAAAUUCUAGGCCUGAAAAUAUAUUUUUGAGCUUGUGUCCUUCUAUACAGUACGCAUCCAUGUUCUUCUUUUUGCGAUCCCACUUGUUGUUAACUUGGUUGAUCACUACCAGUGAGUUGCCAUAGACCAACAAUCUUUUGAUUCCUAGCGAUACCGCCAGGCGAAGCCUAUGCAAUAGCGCUUCAUAUUCAGAUUCAUUGUUGGAUACCUCCCAGAAGAUCUGCAGGACGUAUUUGAGUUACUCGCCUUUAGGAGACAUCAAGAGUGCCCCUCCGCCGGCGCCCUCGAGCUUGAGGGACCCAUCGAAGUGCAUAACCCAAUGCUCUGGGUGCUCCACCAGCGUCGGUAGUUGAUUUUCCCGCCACUCUGCCAUGAAAUUGACUAGAGCCUGAGACUUGAUUACGGUUCUUGACUUGAAAUCUAGGGACAAUGCUCCGAGUUCUACUGCUCACUUUGAAAUCCUACCUGUGGCAUCCCGAUUGUGGAGAAUCUCGCCCAGGGGAAAGUCAGUGAUGAUGGAGAUCUUGUGUUCCUGGAAGUAGUGCCGCAACUUCUGCGAAGUGAGUAGUAUGGCGUAUAGCAAUUUUUGGACCGGUGCGUACCUAGCCUUGGAAUCUGAGAGUACUUUGCUGAUGAUAGACGGGCCUCUGCACUUUGUAUACAUGGCUGGGUUUUGACCUUUUGACUACUAUCGCCAUGCUUAUGACAUUAGUAGUUGCAACGAUGUAGAGCAGAAAGUCUUCGUUGGGACUAGGUGCCAUGAGGACCGGUGGCCUUGACAUGAAGUCCUUCAAUUGUUGCGGGGCUUAGUCUGCCUCCUCGGUCCACUAGAACUUGUCUUGCCGCUUGAGUAGUUUGAAGAAUGGAAGACCCCGUUCUCCAAGUCUUGAUAUGAAUCUGUUAAGGGCCGCCAUGCACCCAGUUAGCUUCAAAACAUCUUUAAUGCCAGACAAAGCUUGCAUAUCGAUGAUGGCGGAUAUCUUCUCGAGAUUUGCUUCAAUGCCUCUAUGGUUGAUGAUAAACCCGUUUUUUUUUCAGAUGGUACGCCAAAGAUGCACUUUGAUGGAUUGAGCUUCCACCAAAAUUUCCGCAGACUAUCGAAAGUCUCCUCCAAGUCAGCGAUGAGGUCGUCUGGAUUUCUGGUUUUGACUACCACGUCAUCCAUGUACGCCUCAACAUUGUGGUGUAGUUGUUUCUGAAAGCGCAUCUGGAUCGCGCAUUGAUAGGUGGUGCUUGCGUUCUUUAAGCCAAAGGACAUCGUUGUAUAACAGAAAGCUUCGUAAGAGGUGAUAAACACGGUCUUGGCCUGGUCUUCUUCCUUGAGAGUUAUCUGGUGGUACCCCGAGUAGCAAUCUAGGAAAUAGAUUAGUGUGCAUCCAGCAGUGGAGUUGAUGACUUGAUCGAUCCUCGAGAGUCUGAAGGGGUCCUUUGGAUAGCGCUUGUUGAUAUCUAUGUAAUCAACGCACAUCCUUCACUCAUUGUUGUUCUUCUUUCGAACCAGAACGGGGUUAGCAAGCCACUCAGGAUGGUAGACUUCUUUUAUAAAACCCGCCGUGAGUAGUUUUGCCAACUCUUUCUUAAUGGCUUCCCUUCUGUCCUAGGCACAUCAUCGUAGUCGUUGUCUCUUUGCAGUAGCUUUUGGAUCCACAUUUAGUGAAUGCUCGAUCAGCUCCUUGGGCACCCCUUGCAUUGUCGGUGUUUUAGACCGGCAACCCGCCUAGGGGGUACCCUAGGUGGUCUUUUGUGCGGUAAGGGCCGUCGAGAAUCAAGGAAUCAAUGGUGAUGCAAGGAACACGAUUUAGACAGGUUCGAGCCGCUAGAUCGCGUAAUACCCUACGUCUUGUGUGUUUGUCUGUAUUGAUCUUAGAUGCACUUGGAGUUGUUCUUUGAGGGGGGGGGUCCCUGCCCGCCCUUAUAUACACGGGAGGGCAGUGUUACAAGUCCGAGUCCUAGUCGAGUACAAUUACAGAGUUCUACUUGGCAAGGCUCGAGUAGUUUUCCAUGUGCAUUACUUGACUAGUCCGAGUGGGAUAUGCCUAUCCCUUGUCUUGAUCAUAUCCGAGUACGUCCCUUAGUGUGCCGUUCAGGGUCUACUCGUGAGCCUAGGGUACAUGCCCGACAAGCCCCCGAGUACUUUGUAGUCGUGCGCCACAGUCUCGAGUACUGUGGGCCCUAUCCGAGUAGUUCUUUUGUAGAAGUUGCAGUGUCCAGAGUGCUCGAGUACUGUGGCGUGGCUGGAAGGUACUCUUCUUGCUCCUUUGAGUUGCUUCUAUUUCGAGAAUUUUUUAUAUGGUAGUGCGAUGACAAUCGCACUCCAUAUGGAGUAGCCCCCGAGCCUUAGGUUGAGUCGAAGAGUCAGGCUUAGGGUCAAUCCUACUUCUUGACUGUUUUACUCUUGGUAAUCUGAAAAAGAAAAUUCUGACCAUCGGGUACGGUACCCGCAGCCCCCGAGCACUUAGGCGAUUUUUGUCAUUGAAGUGGUCAAGACCCGUUUAAAAGAGUAGCCGUUGGGUGUUUAAGGCAAUUAAUUUGUUUAAAACCCGUCCGUUGCGUAACUGACGCUUGGAAUCUGGAGGUGGCGGAGAUAUAACUGGAGGGCCCCCUUUCGGUUAGGUUUACGCCCCACUGUAGCAGAUCUGUUUUUCUUCUUCCCCCACCUUUCCGUUCCUAUUUUCCUUUGCCGCGAUUGUCUAGCGCUGCCGCCACUGUUGCUGCUCUUUUGAGAGAGAUCCAAGGUUGAGUGCUUUUUGCUACAGUUGAAGCCGGCGGAUGCGCACCAAGAAGAUGGGGAAGAAACCCGAGAAGGCUCAGGGCAAGGCUCCAGCAGCGGGCAAGGUGAAGUCUAAGAAGGGGAAGGAGCUGGUGUUGCCGGGGUCGAAGGUGGGGCCGACGAACCAAACUGCACCGCCGCCGCCUGGAGCGACGUGGCAGCAUUCUGUGAUGAAGGAGGCAGCCGUUCAGGCGCUUGUUGACGCCAAGCUUCUGCAGCCAAAACAUGUACUCGAGUGGAGGCCUGCCUUUGCUGAUGCGUGGCAAUUCGAGAAGCAUCCGAAUGAGAUGGUUAUGCUUGCUCACUUUAUGGAGAGAGGACUAGCCGUGCCUACCUCUGACUUCUUCAGAGGUAUCCUCGAGUACUAUAAGCUUCAACUUGUACACUUGAACCCCAAUGGUGUACUGCAUAUGUCGAUUUUUGUGCACCUUUGCGAAGUUUACUUGGGAGUUCCUCCUAGUCUUGAGCUGUUUAGGAUGUUGUUCUGUUGCAAGCCUCAGCCUAGUGCUGUUAGGAUAGAGGUCUUUGGGGGCGCCGGGUUCCAACUCAGGAACUCGGGCGCGUAUAUUGACUAUAAUUUGAUUGACUCCCAUGGAGAGUGGAAGAAGAGGUGGUUCUAUAUUGGGAACCAUAACCCUCGCUUGCCGGUGGUUACUGGUCACGCGCCAAAGCACGUAGAGAAUUGGGUGAGCGAGCCUGAAGAUACCCCAGAGCUCGAUCACUUGCUGCACCAGAUUUCCGAGUUGAAAGCACUCGGUUUGACUGGAGUUAAUGUGGCGGCUAGCUUUCUCAAGAGAAGAAUUCAACCCUUGCAAAAACGGGCUCACUUGGGUGGGGAAUACUCGGGUUUUAAUGACCCGUCUCGUAUGUCUCCGGAUGAUAUUUCUGAUGAUGAUGUUGAGGCACUGCUAGCCAAGUUCUUUAGGAACUAUCAAGGAGUACCAGUUAUUCCUUCAACGCUUCGUCAGUUUGAUGCUUGGUAUCAGCCAGAAGUGGUAUGGCCUUUCACUUUGACUUGUACUUUUUGAACUGUUUGGGAUACUGUUUGAGUGUCGACUUGUUUUUGUAGUUCCGAGUUCUUGCCGGCUACUUGGCACAGUCGGAAGAAGAAGAAUCUGUUGUUGAAGAGUCAGAGGACGAGCCCUCUCCUCCUGUGAAGAAACGCCGGGUAGUCCGCAAGAUGUCUGCUACUAAGUCUGCCUCGACUUCUCCUCCUGAGAAGGCUCAGGGUGCCAAGGUAUGUAGCCGUGUACUCACUUGUAGCUGAUGGAUUUUAACUUGUAAUCUUUUAAUCACUUUAUCUGUCUCAAAAGGCUGACGAUGCGGCGCUCGGUGACGAUGAGGCUGCUUCGGAUGAAGUAGUCGUGACCACCCAGGGCAUUGAUGUUAUGUCUGUUGAGAAGGUGCCAGAGAAGGUGCCACCAACUGGUGUUGGAGUAGCCCCCGGGCUAUCAGUCCAGGCUCCAUCGGCUAUCGCGCUGCCGGUCCCUGACCAGGCAGUCCUGGUUUUGCCUGCUGGAGUAGCGGACGAUGUUGUAAAGGGAGUAUCGCCAGUAGUUGCUACUGGUUCUUUGUUGUCCAAUGUGAUUGCUAGUGGUGAGCUUUCUUUCCCGACUGUUUUUGUUAGCUUGAGUUUAUUGUAGUCUUGACCCUGUGUUUCCCAGGUCUUGGCGAGAAGACAGCGCCAGCAGCUGCUCCUGUGGCGCCGAGUACUCGGCUGCCUGUUGCCAAGAAGAAGCAUGUGCGAUUGCUGCCAUGAUCAACUCGGUGAGUUGUUUAUCCUUGGUGUGUGUCUUCGAAUUUUCUUGAAGUCAUGUCAUGACUUUGUAUUUUGAUGUAGGGAUGCAGAGGAGACUAUCCCUGUAGAGGCAGGAGUAGAUUCGUGUCCCCCGACUACUCUUUCUGCUCCUUUGGAGGAUUUGACUGUCGACGAAGUAUCCGGAGUUGAUGCUAGUCGCCUUGGAGCUACCAUGUCUAUGCUUCAAGAAGUGAUCCGUUCGGUGGAGGAUCCCUCAGCUGCUUCGGGUUCUGGGAAUGUAUCCUUGUCAGCGUCUACUAGCAGAGCUUUGGCUGUAGUGGAUGUGGAGAAAUCCAAGGAACCAGCUGCUCUAGGUAUGUAGCCGUGGUCCUGGUAUUUGUAGUCGUAGUAUUGAAUUGACCGAUGUUAUGGUCUUGGGUGCAGCUCCGCAUGCCAUGAAGAUUACUGAGGGUCCGGUACUCGAGCUUCCAUCUGAGUCGGAGUUUCAGAGAGCUGUUGAUGUGUUUCAAAGCUUCCAGGUGUGUUUUGUCGCUUUGUCUAACAGAUUUAGUAGCUAAGGGACUUGAUCGUUUGCUUUGCUUUGCAGGAUCUGUAUGACAGGACGCAAAGGAACGCUCGGGCCCUUCAGGAGCGAAACGAACAAUUGGAGCAGGAGUGUGCCUGGCUUACAGAAUCCUUGAGGGUUCAUGAAGCUGGAGCGAUAUCCUUUGCUGUGGAACGGUCAGAUCAUGAAGUCUUGCAACAGAAGUUGCAGAGCCGCUACAAGUCUUUGAAUAAAAAGUAACAAGGUGAGUACUGUCCAUGCUCUGAGUAAGUCCGACUGUAGUCGGUUGUUUGAACUUGGUCAUUUUUGCAGAGCUCAAGAGGAAGGAGGCUCCUGCGAGUAGCCAACUCCUUGACUGGAGAAACGAGCACGACCGAGUAGCGGAUGAAGCUGAACAUCUUCAGGCCGCGCUGACGGAAGCACAGGCUGCUUGCGAGCAUCAGCGAGACAAGAAGAUCCAGAAUGGGGUGAUGCUUCCUAUGGCCAUGGUGGCAUGCAGAGAUCAUGCCCAGACUGUAGGAAGACUUCGAGGCGAGCUUCAGGAGUUAACUGACGCCGCUCAGGACUUGGUGAAUGCUAUUGCCCCCUUGGAAGAGGAUGCAGGACCUCAAUCACUAGUCGAGCGUUUGAAGACUACUCUAGGUAAAGUGGCCGGCCUCUGCAAGGCUGUUUGCAAACAAGUCCUUGCUGUGGUCAAGUCAUACUACCCGAGGGCAAAUUUGUCGGCGGCUGGUGACGGCGUUGCUCGCAACUGCACAGAGGAAGCCUAUGCACAGUACCUCGAGGAGGCGGAGCCAAUCGCGUCGAAGAUGUCGGAAUUUGUAUCUCUGGAGGAGCCAUGAGCGUUUAUGUACUCUUGUAAAUUUCCGAGUACUUUGAACGGUAUUUUGUCUGAGAGAUGAACGUUUGUCCAUAUUUUGUUGUUUGAAAUGACGCUGACCCGGCGCGGGAAAGGAGCAGUUCACUCCAUCUCGCCCAACCCAAGGUCCCGGGGCCGGAUACGCCCGACCCUUGACGAAAACUCCACCUCGCCCGACCCAAGGUCCCGGGGUCGGAUACGCCCGACCCUUGACGAAAACUCCACCUCGCCCGACCCACGGUCCCAGGGUCGGAUGCGCCCGACUCCUUGCCGCAAGUAUCCGCCUCGCCCGGGGUUGGACUUAUGUAAGCCCCCAAGACAAGGAUGCACAAACCAUGCUUGGCGGAAGUGGUUCUGAAGACUGAGUUUGAGUAGUUGUGAUCUAGUUGAGUACCCUUGUUACUCUGUGAAUAGGAGGUGCACGAGUGUACUGUACUCUUUUGUCCUUUGUGGCAUGAAUGCUUUCACAUGGGCAGUCAGAGAUCGUCCAGACUCAUCGAUCACGGGGGCAUAGUAAAUCCUGGGUGGUUGGUGGUUGCAGCCCUUGGCUAUAAAUAGACCGCCCUGGAGGUCGACCCGAAUCAAGCUUUGAGUAGUGAUGGAUUGCCUUCGGUUGCUGUUGUUUGAGUGUAGAGAGCCUUUAAAGAGUACACUGGUGCUAGAAGAUUCCUCGUAGGUUGGAGCCACCUUCCCUCCACAGACUCUAGCGCUCAUAGGGAUAGCCGCGAUGCUAAAAGAAUCCUCGUAGGAGGUUUCAUCGCGCGCCUCAUCUUGCAGCUCGUGAUCCAACGGAGUACGCGCUGGAACUCGUGGGUGAUGGGUGAUGAGUGCCGUGGUAUUUAUCCCACUCACUUAGAGGUGGAGGUGUGGCCGUAGAAUGGGUUGGCUCGGCAAGGCUAGCAAAAGAGCAGCCUUGGUUCCUUCUUUGCGCGGCACGCGGGAUUCAUCGUUACCGCUGUCAAGGUAGCGGCAGUGCAGGAGUACCUGGCGUUGCCUUGGGUAGAGGACCUGGAUAUGGCUGCGUUUUGCGCAGCUUCCUUGCGUGUAGGUUCCUCCCGUUGUAGUCGACAAACCUGAGUGGCCUUGUGAUAUUGUAAAAGCCUGAGGCUUAAAUGCAGCCCGCCAGUAGGCAGUUGCUUGUAGUAUUUUUGUAUUUUGAGUACUUUUACUCAUAUGUAAUUUGAGGUAUUUUUGGACUUGAGUAAAGAAUUACUCUACCAUUGAGGCUUUGUACCAGAGCUGGAAUGCCUGUUGAGUUGGUAGCAUUGAAUCAAGAGUAGUGUGUUUUGUAGUCGGUAGUCGAGCUGUUGGCUCGAGUAGUAGACGAGUUUUUGCUUGAAGCAAUUACUCGAGUUCUGCUACAGGUAGUAGUGACAGAGGUGUUCUAUAUUUCAAGAGUUUGGUACUUGUUCUCCUGAGAGCUCUUGUAGUCUGUAAGAUCCGGGUCCUGUGACCUUGGAUACAAUGUAAGGGCCUUUCUGUGGUGAAUUGAGUUUAUGCAACCCAGACAUGUCUUGGAUUCGUUUGAGGACCAUGUCACCUAAGCUGAAAGAUCGUUCUUUGACAUUGCGGUCGUGGUAGCGCCUUAACCCAUCAAGGUAUCUAGCAGAUUGUACUAGCACUGCACACCUUGCUUCUUCUAGACUGUCUAGAUCAGUGCGCCUUGUUUCUUCUACUAUUUCUUCAUCGUAUUGUUCGACUGAGGGAGAUUGCCACAUGACGUCUGCGGGUAAUAUAGCUUCUGAGCCAUAUACGAGGAAAUAAGGAGAGAGCCCAGUAGUCUUGCAUGGUUGGGUUCGUAGUCCCCAUAGAGCAUUGGGUAAUUCCUUGAGCCAUUUGCCUCUUGUGUUGCCGACGUCAUGUAGUCAUUUCUUAAGAGCUUCGAGUAUCAUGCCGUUGGCACGCUCAACUUGUCCAUUGGCUCGUGGGUGAGCAACAGAGACGUAGCGGACGUCAAUGUCGCUAUUCUCGCAGUACUCCCAGAAGUCAUGAUUGUUGAAGUUGGAUCCUAGGUCUGUGAUGAUUCUGUUGGGAAAGCCGUAACAGUGUACGAUUUCAUCCAAGAAGUUGAGGACUCGGUCUGCCUUGGGGCAAGUGACUGGUUUGACCUCGAUCCACUUGGUGAAUUUGUCGAUAGCCACGAAUACUUGGUUGAAUCCGCCUGGCGCAGUUGGUAGUGGCCCUAUCAUGUCGAGCCCCCAGCAGGCAAACGACCAUGUUGGAGGUAUUGUGACUAGCUUGUAGGCGGGGACAUGUUGCUGUUUAGUGAAGAAUUGACAACACUUGCACUUCCGAACUAACUGUUUAGUGUCAGCCAGAGCCAUUGGCCAGUAGAAACCUGCUCUAAAAGCUUUGCCAACUAUUGUUCGUGAAGAUGCAUGGUUGCCGCAGAUCCCCUUGUGAAUUUCUUCUAGGAUUUCUUGGCCAUCUUCACGGGUAACACACUUCAUGAGUACCCCUGAUGAUGCACUUUUCCUAUAGAGCUUGUCUCCGACUAGAACGUAGUUUUUUCCUCGCCGAGAGAUCUGUUCAGCUUGAUUUUUGUCAGAGGGUAACUUGUGAUCCUUGAUGUAGUCGAUGAAGGGUGUCCUCCAAUCGACUUCUAUCAUCAUGAUUUCUCGAGUAGCGUCAGUAGUCUGGACUACUGGGGGUGUAACUUGUUCAGGUAUGGACGGUUUGUGCAGUUCGUGUACGAAAAUUCCUGCUGGAACCUCUGCACGAGUUGAGUCCAUUUUUGAUAAUACGUCGGCGGCUACGUUGUUGUCGCGGACGAUGUGAUGAAAUUCCAAGCCUGAGAACUUGUUUUCUAGUUUGCGGACUUCUUUUCAAUAAGCGUCCAUGUUGUAUUUGUUUUGAUCCCACUUGUCAUUGACUUGGUUUAUAACGACUAGUGAGUCGCCGUAUACUAGUAGUCUUUUCAUGCCGAGGGAAAUUGCAAGGCGAAGGCCGUGUAGCAGUGCUUCAUACUCGGCUUCAUUGUUUGAAGCUUCCCAGAAGAUUUGCAGCACGUACUUGAGUUGCUCUCCCUUUGGGGAAAUGAGGGUACGCCUACACCGGCUCCUUCAAGUUUGAGGGACCUGUUGAAAUACAUUACCUAGUGCUCUGGCCGCUCGACUGGUGUGGGUACUUGAUUUUCAGUCCACUCAGCCACAAAGUCGACCAAAGCCUGAGACUUGAUAGCUAUUCUUGGCUUGAAGUCCAAGGUUAAAGCUCCGAGUUCAACUGGCCAUUUGGAGAUUCUACCCGUGGCGUCUCUGUUGUGGAGGAUUUUGCCGAGCGGGAAGUCAGAAAUGACUGUGAUGCUGUGUUCUUGGAAAUAAUGGUGCAGUUUCCAGGAGGUGAGCAGAAUUGCGUAUAGGAGUUUCUGUAUCGGUGAGUACCGAGUUUUGGCGUCCGAGAGUACUUCAUUGACGAAGUACAUAGGUCUUUGGACUUUGUAAAUGUGGUCUGGUUUAGACCGUUCAACUACUAUCGCCGUGCUGACGACAUGGGUAGUAGUUGCUAUGUAUAGGAGCAAGUCUUCGUUUGGAGAUGGAGCAGUGAGUACAGGAGGCUUUGACAGAAAGUGUUUCAGUUGCGUCAGUGCCUUGUCUGCCUCUUCUGUCCAUUUGAACUUGUCCUGUCAUUUGAGAAGCUUGAAGAAGGGUAGUACCCAUUCUCCAAGCCUCGAGAUGAACUGAUUGAGAGCUGCCAUGCAGCCUGUGAGUUUAUGCACAUCCUUGAUGCUAGCUGGUGCUUGCAUGUUUGUGAUGGCAGAUAUUUUCUUCGGGUUGGCCUCAAUGCCGCGAUGGCUAAUGAUGAACCCGAGUAACUUGCCAGAAGGUACUCCGAAGACGCAUUUAGUAGGAUUGAGUUUCCAUUGGAAAGCUCGUAGACUAGAGAAGGUUUCCUCCAGAUCGGCGAUGAGUUCCUCUUGGUUUCUUGUUUUGAUGACUACGUCGUCCAUGUAAGCUUUGACAUUUGCGGUGGAGUUGCUUCUCGAAGCACAUCUGUAUGGCUCGUUGAUAGGUUGCCCCAGCAUUUUUUAGUCCUUUUUAGCAGAAGGCUCCAAAUGGUGUGAUGAAGACUGUUUUAGCUUGAUCUUCUUCUUUGAGGCUUAUCUGGUGGUAGCCUGAGUAACAGUCGAGAAAACAUAGUAAAGCACACCCAGCAGUAGAGUCGACCACUUGGUCGAUCCUGGGUAGUCCGAAAGGGUCUUUGGGACAUUGUUUGUUGAGGUCCGUAUAAUCGAUGCACAUUCUCCACUCGUUGUUUUUCUUGCGAACGAGUACAGGAUUGGCUAGCUAGUCAGGGUGAAAGACUUCUUUGAUGAACCCUACCACAAGUAGCUUGGCUAGCUCUUUUUUGAUUGCUUCUCGUCUGUCUUGAGCGAACCUGCGGAGUCGCUGCCGUUUUUGAAAAGAAGCUUUGGGAUCAACAUUUAGAGAGUGCUCGAUCAGCUCCCUGGGCACACCGGGCAUGUCAGCUGGUUUCCAAGCGAAGAUAUCAUAGUUAGCCCGAAGGAAAUUGACGAGCGUGGAUUCCUAUUUAGGAUCUAGCCCUGUUCCGAUCAGGGCUAUCUUGGAGGGGUCGCCUGUCUGGAGAUCGACUGGUUUGAAGUCAUGCUCGGUUGCGGGUUUCACAUUUGUAGACCCCGACUUGUUUUCUGGGAUCUCGAGUUCGGUUGGAUGGAGCUUCUUUGAAGCUGUAAAGACUUGUUGCAUGGGGCUAGGUGCUUGAGAAGUCGCGGCGAUCUCAGCGGCUUCAGUGUCGCAUUCGUAGGAUCACCGUAGAUCUCCCCGUAGCGUUAGUUAUCCCUUUGGCCCUGGCAUUUUGAGUACCAAGUAAACAAAAAUGUGGAAUGGCCAUGAAAUUGGCAAGUCCUGGCCUUUCGAGUAUGGCGUCGUAAGAUGUCUUGAAGUCGGCGACUUCAAAUCUGAUAUACUCGGUGCGGUAGUGUUCCUUAGUUCCAAAGGUAACUGGAAGGACGACUUGUCCUAGCGGUAUGGCUGUGUUUCCUGGUACGAUGCCGUAGAAAGGUGAAUCUAUUGGAGUGAGCAUUUCUGUGAUGCCGAGGCACAUCUUUCUUAGUGUUUUGGCGAAAAUGACGUUAAGUCCACUUCCACCAUCGAUGAGUACCUUUGUCAGCUUUGACCCUGCCACAACGGGAUCGAGUACUAGAGGGAAUCGGCCUGAUUCUGAGAAUUUGGUCCAUUGGUCCUUCCUGGUGAAGGUUAUGGGCACUUUUGACCAUUUUAGCGGUGUUGGAUCUGUUGGCUCGAUGGCCAUGAUUUCCCUGAGUACGAGUUUGCUGGCUUGCUUGGAUGCGGUGCCUAGGAUUCCGCCAAAGAUGACGUUGACUAUCUUGGAGGCGGUCUGGAAGUUGCCUUCUUCUUCUUCGUCGUUGUGGACUUUGUUUUUGCCCUUCUCCUUUUUCUUGCUGUAUUCUUCAGGGGGUGGUGGUGCGGGUAAGUCUUGCAUGACUUGACGCAUGCUGUAGCAAUCUAUUGCCGAGUGCUUGCUGGUCGGGUGUCAUGGGCACUGCUUUUUGAGUAGCUCGGUGAAGGUUGGGCCUUCGUCGUUUUUGCGGGGUCCCUUUUUCCCGGAAUUGGUCAUGGCAGCAAUGGUGUUGUCGGGCUUCCUUUUGCGAUUCUGAUUACUCAAAAAGUUGUUUCGAGUAUCAUUGUGUCGAGUUCUAUCCUGAUCAUUAUUGUUGUUGCGUCCUCGGUUGCGAUGAGAGCCAAACCAUUCUCGCACUUUGUCUUCUUCAUCUGCCCACUGUUGUACCAUGAUUUUAAGGUCUUUGACAUUAGCUGGUUGUCGUCGACCAAAGUCUUGGUAUGUCCGUCGAUCGUAGAGUCCAUUCUGGAAGCACUCGAUGAUGUCUAUUUCUGAAAUGUCAACUAUAGUUGCCUUCUUUUCGAAGAAUCAUCGCAAGUAGUCACGUAAGGUUUCACCUUCUUUCUGCUUUAUUUGACUCAGGUCGAUCUUGUCGCCUGGUCUAGCCAUGUAGCUGGCAUAGUUGUUUGUGAAGGCCUUUGUCAAAUCGGCCCAAGAGUCGAUUGAUUUGGGUUUGAGGGACUCGAGCCAUGUCAGUGGUGCGGGUUCCAUGCAUAUGAGAAAUUUGAUAACUUUGGUAUCGUUAUUGCCCCCAACUACCUGGACUGCCAAAGACUAGCAUUGUAGCCAUUGAAUUGGGUCAUGUUUGACGUCAUACUUGGUGAUUCCUGUUGGCUUGAACUUCUCAGGUAGUCUUGUCUUUAUUACCCGAUUUGUGAAAGCAGGAAAGUGGUUGUAGUUGUCGACUUCUUGCUCACACCGACUAUUGAGUAUUUCUCGCAGAUCACUGAAAUUUGAUACUUCGUGAUUUUUCCGAGUAGGGCGAAUACUUUUUACGGAGUUAGUGCAGCUGACUUCUCCAACAUCCUUAUGGCGUAUUGGGGCAUUCUGUUUGCUUGGGCCUUGGCUAUUUUGCCAAGUUUGGUUGACGACAUCGUUUUCGUUUCUUUGAGCAUCGUUAUUGUUGGCUGCAGCACCUCUGCUGCCUUCUUGAUGAGCUGUGAUGCGAGGAACAUAUGGGAUUGGUGAUUCUUUGUCGAGUAGCUUGUAAGCUUCCUCUGCGAGUUGUGCGAUUAGUCCGUUGCCGUGCUGUACGAGCUGAGCUGUGGCUUCAUUGUCCCUGUCUUGAGGUAUUAACGUUGUUAAAAGAUUGAUAGAAGCGAUUGCUGCGAGUGGAGUGGUAUGUUCUUGAGCCUGAACUGCGUCAAAUGCUCUUUCAAGGUUUGUGAUGGGAAUAUUUGUAGCCAUCGUCUGCCGUCGCUCAGCUCGAGUAGCAUUGCGCGUCCUUCUUUGGUCCAUUUGAUCGGAAGUUUUGCCUUGUGGGGCAUUAGCUGUUGACUCGUCUUCUGAGACGUUGUCAAGUUGUGCUAAUCGCCUGGGGGUUCUGUUCUGGCUAGUACCCGGGUUGUUAUUUUGAGUAAUAACAAAGACUUCCCUAUCUGGGUAGUAGCUUCCGGAGCUUGAUGUUGCAAUUUCUGUGGAACUUUCCUCGCGGAUUGAAGUGAGUGGGACGCCUUCUUGGUACGAGAGAUUGUCUAUGUGAGCGACGAGGCGUGACUCAUAGUCGCGGGCAAGGGAUGGUCUCAUUCCUGGCCAGUGAACGAAUCUGCCUUGUGAUGUUGUGGUUAUUACCAGACCCUGAGCUGGUCCUGAUAAUGGUAUCUCUGGAAGAUAGACCGAGUCGGAGUCAUCAUCUUCGUCGUCCCCAAGUUUGAGUUGAAUUCGAGUGAGAAAACUCUGGUGGGCUUUGGCUGCAUUGCGGAGUUCGUUUGGAAACUAUUUUGGAGUCGAAGUCGAUUUGGGAAGCGACUGGGACCGACUAGUCCGAACCAAAGUCGAGUCUGACGUGUAGUCGAACUCGAGGUUGUUGACUUUGAAAUUUUGGUUUUUGCUAACCGAAUCCUCCGAUUUCAUCUCCUGGACGUUGGUGAUGUGGCGCCGGAACGAUCCAGCAGCAUUGGCGAUGCAGAGCCAGGAUCCAAAAACGAAGGUUGCGCCCGCUUCAAUGGUGAAGACGGGCUUGAUGAUGAUCGUUGCCAUUGAGUUCACGCUGAGAAACUCGACGAGUCCCCCUACCUGGCGCGCCAGCUGUCAGUGUUUUAGACCGGCAACCCUCCUAGGGGUACCCUAGGUGGUCUUUUGUGCGGUAAGGGCCGUCGAGAAUCAAGGAAUCAAUGGUGACGUAGGAAACACGAUUUAGACAGGUUCGGGCCGCUAGAUCGCGUAAUACCCUACGUCCUGUGUGUUUGUCUAUAUUGAUCUUAGAUGCACUUGGAGUUUUUCUUUGAGGGGGGGUCCUUGCCCACCCUUAUAUACACGGGAGGGUAGGGUUACAAGUCCGAGUCCUAGUCGAGUACAAUUACAGAGUUCUACUCGGCAAGGCCCGAGUAGUUUUCCAUGUGCACUACUUGACUAGUCCGAGUGGGAUAUGCCUAUCCCUUGUCUUGAUCAUAUCUGAGUACAUCCCUUAGUGGGCCGUUCAGGGUCUACUCGUGGGCUUAGGGUACAUGCCCGACAUGCAUGUCUACUAGUUUCCAUGCAGAGAUGUCUCAAUUGGCCUGAAGGAAGCUGACGAGCGCAAUUUCCUAUUUAGGAUCCAACCAUGAACCGAUCAGGACUGUCUUAGAGGUGUCACCGAUCUCGAGGUCAAUGGAUUUGAUGUCCAUGUCACUUGCCGGCUUGACCUUGGUAGCCCUUGACUUGUUCUCUGGAAUUUCGAGUUCAGUCGGGGAGAGCUUUUUUGAAGCAGCGAAAACUUGUUGCAUUGAAUUGGGCACUUGAGAAGUUGCGGAUAACUUGACAGAUUUUGUAUCGUACUCAUAUGUUUUAUUCAAGUCUCCACGGAGGGAGAGGGCUCCCUUGGGUCCCGGCAUCUUAAGUACUAAGUACACAUAAUGCAGGAUGGCCAUGAACUUGGCCAAUGUUGGUCUUCCAAGUAUGGCGUAAAAAGUCUCAAAAUCCGCCACCUCGAACCGGAUGUACUUUGUCUGGUAGUGCUCCUUGGUCCCGAAGGUAACUGGCAAGACUACCUGUCCAAGAGGUAUAGCCACGUUGCCUCGGACGAUCCCAUAGAAGGGAGAGCUCGUCGGGGUGAGCAUCUCCAUGAUGUUGAGACCCAUCUUCUUUAAAGUCUUGGCAAACAGGACGUUGAGGCCACUGUUGUCGUUGAUGAGUACCUUGGUGAGCCUAGAGCCAGCAACAAUCGGGUCCAAGACGAGAGGAAAUCGUUCUGGUUCUGAGAAAUUAGUCCACUGAUCUUUCUGAGAGAAGGUAAUUGGUACUUCAGACCACUUGAGGGGUGUGGGUAUAGCAGGCUCAAUGGACAUAAUCUCUCGUAGCACUAGCUUCUGGGACCACUUCGAGGUGGUACCCGGGAUCCCACCAAAAAUGACAUUGACAGUCUUGGAUGGGGUCUGUAACUUGCCGUUACCAUCCUUGUCUUUGUCUUCCUUGGCUUUUCCUUUGUCAUUGGUACCCGAUGGCUCUGCCAAGUCCUUCAUUACUCUGCGUAGGCUGUAGCAGUCUAUCGCAGCGUGUUUGUGGUGAGAAUGCCACGUGCACUAUUUUUUCAAGAGCUCGCUGAAAGCGGGCCUGUCUUGUCUUCUGCCACCUCCUUUCUUGGACAAUUGAGAUAUCGCCACGAUAGUAUUGUCUGGUUUGGGCUUGCGGCUGUGACCUACUGAGUAGUUAUUUUGGUGAUCGCCAUUACGGUUCUUGUCAUUGUCCUGGCCGCUGCUCUGAUUGUUGUUGUGCUGGCCUUGAUUGUGAUUUGACUCGAACCUUUCAAGCUCUUUGUCUUCUUCGUCUGCCCAUGCUUGCGCCAUAAUCUUGAGUGACUUGACAUCAUGGGGGCACCGUCUGCCAAAGUCUUGGAACAUACGAUGAUUGUAGAGACCGUUCUGGAAACAGUCGAUGACGUCUUGCUCUGAGAUGUCUACAAUGGUGGCAUUCUUAUCGAAGAAACAACGUAGGUAGCUUUGUAAGGUCUCGUCUCGCCGUUGCUUUACUUGUGCCAAGUCAAGUCUGUUGCCUGGACACUACAUUGCUUCCACGUAAUUGUUGGUAAAUGCCUUCUUGAGAUCUUUCCACAAGUCAAUCAAGUUUGACUUCAAUGAUUCGAGCCAAGUGAGCGGCACUGAUUCCAUGCAUAUGUGGAAAUAGAUGACUUUUGUGUCAUCGUUCCCUCCUGCAGCUUGAACUGAUAAUGAGUAGCAUCGAAGCCAUUGAACUGGGUCCUGCUUGCCAUUGUAUUUGGAGAUGCCUAGAGAUUUGAAUUUCUCGGGCAAAAUAGUCUUCCUGACCCGACUUGUGAAAGCCGGGAAGCUAUCGUUGUCGUCGCCCCUGUACUUAACUUCAAGUUCGCGCUCACGACGCAGUCCUUUGAUGAUGUCACGAGCAUUGUGGUUGUUGUUUAUCACCUCUCAAAGAUCCACCACGGGAUGCGUGGGCUCAGGAUCGGCUUUGUGUUGGCGGCAGCCUCCCACAAAAGGUGUCUGAUUACCCUCGGGUAUAUCCCAAUUUUGUCUAGCGCCUCCAGAUUGUCGAGCUGAAGGGCCUCUAUGGCUACUACCAUGUUGAAUUCACUGGGAUGGAGUACGUGAUACCGAGGCUAUCGGAUUCUUCCUGUUGAGUUGUUCAUAGGCAUGUUCCACCAGCGCUACCAACUGCCUGGUAUAUCUGUCCUGUGGUAUGGCAUGGGUAAUAAGGUCAAUGGAAGCAAUGGUGGUGAGAGGCGUACGGUGUUGCCGCAUUUGGACUGCUUUGAAAUCUUUGUCCAGAUUCAUGAUCGCAAACCUCUCUGCCAGCCAGCGAUGACGAUCCGCUCUCACUGCAUUCCUUGCUCAUCGUUGUGUUCUUUGAGCUUCAAUCUCCUCCACGAUGACAUUGGCGGUUAGUUCGUCCUGCGAGACGUCAUCAGGGUGACACUCGUGUCGAGGAUUCCUCUCUGGUGGAUCGCCGUUCUCCAUAUCUUACCCUAUGACGAGCGCGAAGAGGUCUCUAUCUGGAUAGUAGCUUCCAGAACUUGAGGUGAUAACUUCUGUAGAGCCGUCGUGUAACAUCCUAAAAAUCACCAACUUAAAAUCACCCGUUAAAAAUCGCUUUCAAAAUCUUUUUACCGCUGAGCUCCCGGAAAUCCAAACUCUUCCCGGCGAUUUCGCCGUCCCGGCACUCAAGCCAACAGCCAUCAUGUUAUCCGUGCCCGUAAUUUUUGCCGCGUGCCAUUGUCAAGCGCCGCGCGCGUGCUCCGACCGCAUGCCGCAAUCGCCGCCGGUCUCCCUCUUUUCUUUCUCUUUCACACUCCCUUUUUCUUUUUCUUUUUCUCCUUCCUUUCUUCUUCUUCUUUCUUCUUCCUCCUUCCUUCUCUCUCCUCCUCCUUCUUCUUCCUGGCGUCCGCACGCCCGGCCCCAAUGCCAUUAAUCCCCCGGUGCCCACCUUCCCUGGUGCCAUAUCGCCGGCCGCCCGACCCCCCUCUGCGCGCCUGGGACCCGCGCCACCCGGCCCGGCGCCGACGCCUCCCCUCGGGCCGCGCGCCCGACCCGACCCCGGCCAGCUGCGCCGCCCCGCUCCGGCGACCGGCCGCCUCAGCCCCGCACGCCCGCCCCUCCUGCGCCGGCCCCGCCUCCGGCCCCGCUCCAUGCCGCCCGCCGCCGGCCCCUACCUCCCUGCCCCGGCACGCCACCGGUGCCGUGCCGCCAAGCCAUCCCGCCGGCCGCUCGGUCCCCUACCACCGGUGCCCUCCUCGCCGGCCUAUAAAAGGCCUCAACGCCCCGGCUCUCCCCAUCCUCCAUCCACCAACACCGCCCCUCCCUCGCCAAGCACCGCCGCCGUCGUGCGCCACCGCCCGUGCGCCGCUCCUCCCGUGCGCCGCCGCCACCCGAGCCACCACCGGCCACCCCUUCCCAUCUCCAACUCUCCAAGGUAAGGGGCAAAAUGGAGCCCCCUCCCCUUCCUCUGCCGCCCCUGGCCCUCGGCUCGCCGGCGGCGAGGUUCUGCUGGCCGGCCACCGCCGGCCCCCAACCCCACCUCUCUUCCUCUCUUUGUUCCUGGGGAGAAGAAGAUAAGGUGUCCCAGAUUUUCGAUCUGACCCCCAAGUUUUCCCAAAUUGCACAUAUGUCCUUCCACCACUCUCAUAAACCUAUUCGCUGAUAAGCCCCUCCACCUCCAAAAGUAUUUACAAAUAGGUCCAGUAUUCACAAAUAGGUCCCUGGUUUAUCGCAAAUCAGUCCUAAACCUCCUUUUUAAGCCCCUAAUCCAUGUUUAACUCAUCAUCUCAUGCGCCAAACUUCCUCCAAUUAACCCAAAAUUCAACCACGUCAUCCUCCACUAUACUUCCGCUGAUCCAUAUCCAAAUUUCCCCAAAAAUACUCUUUCUACCUAUUUUCCGUUCGCGUUUUCUAUUCGGAGCUCAACGGGUAAAAACCGAUUUUCUUUUAUUUAUUUGUGUGCCCAUUUGUGUGUGCCGUAGAUCACGGAGUACCCGAGGAGGAGCCCGAGGAGGAGUUUGACUGCGAGCCCAAGCCCGAGGACCAGCAACACGAGCCGAAACUCCCGGAAGGCUUUGAAGACGGCAAGUCCAAUCUCACCCUUUGAUGCAUACUUAAUACCUAGUUUUUCAAACACAACCCAUUGGCCUGUUUUAUAAAAUGCAUAUUGUUUUAUUGCAAGACAUGGUUGGAUAGCCACCCCUUGAUUGUUAUAAAAUUUCCUUGUUGUCCUAUGUUUGUCUCUAAAUAUGACUUGCUUUGUUUAGAUGAUAACUACUGCUAGAACGCUUAGGAAUUUGUUAGUCAACUUCAAACAUUAUUACAAUGGUUUAUUUGGUGAAUGAAUGUGUGUGUGUGUUCAAAAUGGGAAAAUGGGUUUCCGGGUUCAAAGGCAAGAAAGGUGUAGAUGAGAUGGAUGGGUGUUUCUUGUGUGAAAUGCCACGAUGUUGUCCUUGUACCUUAGUGUUUGAGCAAUGUCGGGAGAUGUCCAUCUUGUCAUGGUUAAGGACUGAGUUGAUGUGUCAUCUUGCCUAAUUCAACCAUCGUGCAACCACUCGACCAUUGUAUGGGCAACGGCUUAGCAUAAAUCCCACUAGCUGAACUGAUAGUCUUCAGGUGUGCUAGUGAGCAACGGGAGCCCAUGGAAAAGGAGUAAGAUCUUGGUGACUUAGGUCCCAGUUACGGUCUCGUGGAUGAGCUGUGAACCCCUUGGGUGCUUCCGUGUGGACUAGCCAGUCUUAGCUAAGGUGGGUAAUGGCUUUGCUAGGAUCCGCACCGGCACUAAGGUGAUCGUGCUGCGGUACCCUACUUGUGGGGAAAGUGUACAAGCUCUGCAGAGUUAAAACCUAUCCGGGUAGCCGUGUCCACGGCAAUGGACGAGUUACGGCUUGGUCACAUAACUAGCAUUUGGGGAUGGAUGGUUAUAGGUGUGCGUGUGUGUGUUGGAUUUUGGAAGAGUCCGGCAGUUGUGCCGUGAGCUAUGGUAGACGAAGAGUCCGAUAGCAAUAAAAUUUGGAUCCUUUGUGUAGGAUCAACCCCACUCAAUGUUUCGGUUACUAAAGAAAAGCUCUACAAAAACUCCUUUGAAAACAAGCCCAUGCAUGUGUUGAAAAUCUAGCUUUAUUACAAAUGAACUCUAGCCUAUCCUUGUUAUAUCCUGUGCAUAUACUUGCUUGUAUCCCCCUCUGUGGAUGGGGUUGGACUUGUUGAGUACGUUUGUACUCACCCUUGCUUCGUUGCUACAGAGGAAGACCCGGACUUCAUCUCCGAGGACUUUGAGUAGAAGGUUGUGUCCACACCCAACGUUGCCUGUGGUGUUGGCCUUUCCAAGAUGCUUCUGCUGCCGUGUAGUCCCGAGUGCUGUCUUUUGGUAGUCGCUUAGUUAGCUGUUGUUGUUUAUUUGCUUCUUAUCGCUGCGUGGCUUUCACGCCCACUCCCUCGGGAGUUGUACGGUAACUGAAUUAUCUGUCGAAUAAAUGUGUUAUUAGCCUCCUGGGACUGAUAUUUGCAUCACAUUUAGUCUCUACUUAUGUGGGGACGCUUCACGUCGCCUUCAUGGAUAGGGGAUAGGGGCGUCCCUUCCUGGUAUAGGAGAACAUCGAGGUGGACGAUGAAGCGUGACUCGUUGUCCUGGGCAAGGGCGGGUGGCCUCAUGCCAGGCCAGUAGACGAAUCUUCCUUGGGGGGUCGAAGUGAUCACCAGGCCCUGCUGCGGGCCUUAUAAUGGCAUCACCUCAUCAGAAUCCGAGUAAUAAUCGUAGUCGUGGUCCUCAAUCGCACCCGAGUUGGAUUGCAAUCUGGAUAAAGCUGCUUGAUAGAUGGCAGCUGCGUUAUGGAGUCCGAACGGGAAUCUGCUCGAAACUUGACUCGAUUCGCACGAUGGCUGGAACGCCGGCUCGUGGGAACCAAUCCGAGUAGAUCUAGAGCCUGAGUUGUACUCGGACUUGCUUCUCAAUCUUUGGAACAGAUCGAAAAUUUCGUUGAAUCUCUCAACAAAUUACUCCAAAGCUUGGUGAUGAAGGUUGAUGUCAUAAAGCUUGUCCUCCGAGGCCUCCACGAUGUGAUGGUAGAAACUUCCAGUGCCAUCUGCGAUGCUAUAGAGAAGUAGAUGGGAAACACCACCCACCCUAAUGAGGGGGGUGACCUCUAUAUAUAUGGCUAAUAUGGCUUGGAGUACAAGGAAUACAUCAAGUGUACAAGGAAAUGAUAAAUACAUCCUAAUAUACACAUAUACUCCCUAAUAGACGCAGACCCAAGAGCCGAAGAUGAACGUCGCGCCCACUUCAAACGCGACUGCGGGUUUGAUGAUAAUUUGUGCCAUUAAACUCGCAAGGGAAAUCUCGGCGAGUUCCCCUACCUGGCACGCCAACUGUCGGUGUUUAAACCUGGCAACCUACCAAGGGGAGUACCCAAGGUAGAGUUUUGGUUGGUGGGUGUCGCCAAAAUUAGGAACUCGAUGGUGUAUGUAGGCACAUGAUUUAGAUAGGUUCGGGCUACUAGAUCGUGUAAUACCCUACGUCCUGUGUGUUAUUUGCUUGUAUUCAAUUGAACCUAUCUGGAGGGGGUCCCUGCCCGUCCUUAUAUAUCGGAGGAGCAGGGUUACAGGUCGGUUAUUUUACAGAAAUACUAGUCGGAUUCGACCAGAGAAUCCUACUCUAACUGCUAUGAGUAGUUUCCAAGUCCUCGACUAGCUCCUGUCCUCCAUGUAGACUACGCCGUCCUACACCGUAGUCUCCAUGUCUGACACGUCUCGGUGUACAACCUUAUAUGUGGGUCAGUCCAAACCUUCUGGUGGCCCCAUGGAUGUAUAUACGACAAGAAGUUCCCACCAUCGGUGGUCAGAUUUUUAGCCGUUACAAUCGGGACUAAAGAGGGGCGACUAAAGCUCCCCCGUCGGUGGUUCAUUUUUGACCUGGGACUAAACACCCUUUAGUCCUGGGUUCAAAGUCAACCGGGAAAAAAAACGUUGGAUGGAAGGUGAGUUCUCUAGAGGAAUAUAUUGACUUGGCUAGGAUUAGUUGGUUGUUAGUUUGGAUGUUUAGCCCAGCUCGCCUUAUAUCAGUUUCUUUAUUUUUUUUCUUUUGUUCUUUUUUAGGUUUUCAUUUUUCAGGCGUUGUUAGUGUAUAUGAUUGCUUUCGCUUCUGCUGCGCUGGUAUAACAUAUAUGGUUCAUUUCUUGCCUUCCCACUCUUUUAAUGCAAUGACGCGCGAUCUCUUACGGGUUCUCCAAAAUUUGGUAGAGAAGUUACGUAACUCUCACAAGUUCCAGAACGUUUGUGCUACACAUUAACUCUAUUAGCAAAUAUCCAGUGAUAUAUCCAUUGUUUGCAGUAGUCGCACCUCCGGUUUCAGUGACGUGUACUGUCCCUGUCCUCCGGGACCGACCACAGAUCUCCCUUUUGACUACUAACGCCACUUAGCGCGUCGAACAAAACUCUCAACAACCCAAGCCGGACAAACCUUGACAAGUUACGCGCACGCAUGGUCAAAUUUUCAAACACCGUGUCCUAUCUUCCGUUCCCCUGAAUUUCCUCUACAAGCGACGGCGACGCGACCGUUUGAACAGAACCGGAGGAAGAAACUACAUGUGUACAUACACAGACGACUCCAAUAAAUUUCUACUGGGCAAAAGUAAAGAGGCCGGAGACUUUGAAUGAGCUUCGUCUUCAAGUGGACGUCGCCGUGUGCUCAGGCUGCGUGGCGGCAGCGGCGGCGGAGGCCCCCCGGUCCUGCUGGCCGUCGUGGCGGUGGUCGCCCUCGUAGGUGACGAUGAGCAUCGCCGGCUCGCCGGGGUCGCGCUCCACGUGCUUCCGCGCCGGGCACCCGCGCACCGUGCUGCACUUGUAGUACCCGCUGCAUGUCGUACAUGGACGCACACGACAUCAAAUGGUCAGUGCCUCGCAGCGUAAGAACGGGAAGAAAGAAUGGUGAUCGGACGGGUCGCCAGUUGCUUACCGUGGGUACGGCGAGCCCUUGAUGGGCUUCUGGCCGUACUUGCGCCAGGAGUAGUCGUCCGGCGGGAUGUCGGCGUUCCGGGAGCUGAUCGCCGGCACGCGGACCAUCCGCCUCACGCGCGACUUCCUGCCAUCGUUUUUCAAAUCAUCAGAAACAUUCAGUAAUAGGUCGAUGUAUAAGUAAUAAUGUAAGAGUUUUAUGAGUGUAUAUACCGUUUCUUGGAGCAGUGGCAGAGGCCGGCGUGCGCCGCCUUGCCGCCGGCGUCGUUCUCGGAGCGCGCGCGGCCGCCGUGGGACUUGCUUCUCAGCGCGGCGCCGCCGGAGGGGUAAUAAUCGGAGGCGGCAGGCUGCUGCUGCAUCGAUACCGCUUUGCCGGUGGCGCUGCCGCUCAUCAGAGGAGGAAAGCGGCCCUGCACGCGGCCGUUGGACACGCUCCCUUCGCCACCGGCGGUAAGGCUCGUCGGCGUCGUCGUCGAGGGGAGCGACGAGCUGCCCCCCGAGGCCGACGCGCUUGGCGCCGCCUCAUCGCACCCCUUCUUGACGAAGCCCAGCGCCGCGCUCCCCGACGGCUGCUGCUGGUGGUGGUCCGACGACGACGGCGGGUGGCCGUCCGCCACGGCGACGGGGCCGCGGCGGAAGCGCGCGUGGCCCGUGCGGCGGCCGAGCAUGGACACCGCCGCCCGGAUCCUGGACACCGUCAGUUGGUGGUCGCCCACCGCCAUCAUUUGCUGCCACGACGUCGUCGCCACCUGCCCGUCGUCGCUAGGAACCACCGGAGCCCCACCGCCGCCGCUGCUGCAGCUCAUCAGAUCGUCGAUGGUGAUCAUGGCGAGCAAGAUGCGAUUGUUCACGCAAGAUGGGCUGGGAGAAACGCGAACGAAGGGCAGCGAGGAGGUUUAUAUGAUGGGCUAUUCCAUCGGUCAAGGCAGUGGACUGGUUCGAGUCAAGAGACUCGACAGCAGAGCGAGAGCGCGUUCCGCGGCGCGGGGUUGGGCCAUCGGACGGCGCCGGGUUGGGUGCCGGCCGGGCACGGAGACGAGUCGACGGCGGGAUCGGCUGGCCAGUGGUGCGGUGCAGCCGAACCGGAAAAAAAAAUUGUGCAGCCGGGCUACAAAGCUCCGUCCGUGCAGUCGGACGUCUUAUGGUUGCCGCGUGGACACCCCAAGCAUCGGACGCCCUACCGCUCACGGGCUUCGUCCCACAUAGAUCAAUCACGCUCGGCUCACACGAUUCCUAAAAAUCGCAGCUCGGCUCGCAGCUAGCGCUCAACUCGCAUGUGCAAGAUACGGCUUGCAACGCUGAACUCGCAGGGAGAAGAGUAAUUUCCUUUUUGCUUCCCUAUCGAAGCCGCCUGCAUCUCAUACGAACGCGCCGCUGCUUCAUUUCGUAUAGCGAUAACGCUUUCUCUUUCUUAGCGCUCCAGCCUCCAUCGCCCGCUGUCGCCGCCGUGAUCCGUCGCAAUCCGAACGCCCCCCUCUCACCGACAGACACCUCUAACUCCAGUCGUCCUCCGCUGCUAUGGCCUCCAUCAUCCUCCGUCGUUCUCCGCCGCCAACACAGUCACCUCGCCCACCGGCAGCCCUCUCAUCCGACUGCUUGAAGAGGCACCUCGACUCCUUGGUUCGCCAUCUGCCGCCACAAUCGCGCCCAUUGGCUCCCCCCUCACAACCGCAUCAGCAGGCACCUCAACUUACACAUGGGUCAUAGAAGGUUAUAUGCUUCUUAGUGCCCUUUUAAUUUGUUCUAUGUGGUACAUCAGGAUGAGCAAUUGAUGUUGUUCAGUUGAUGCAAACCACACAGGUGGGUGGACCAAUUGUGCCCAUAGAGGUACUUGUUUUUUCCUGUCAGUUAUUUAUGAAUUUUAGUUUCCGCAUAUGUCUCUGUCCAUUGUAGAUGCUAAAAAUAAUAGGUUUUACAGUCGUGACUCGUGGUAUUUCAGUGCCCUGGGGAAUGUUUGAUUCCAUCAGACAAGCUUUGUGUACAAACUUGUGCAUCCAAAUUAAUGACGGUCCUGUUCAUGUUUCCUAGCUUGUUGCUAUCUUAGAAUCUUCAUAUGGCUAUUGUCCGCACCAUGAGCAAUUUUUCAUAUAUAUGAGUCUUUCUUGUUUGUGUUUUAUCUCUCACAGGAAAAUAAAAAUACAAAAUUCAGUACUACAAGAUUCAUACGCGGAUAAAAGUAGUGAUGAAUUAUUUCAAAGGUGAAGAUGGUGUGCAGUGAAGCAAUAUGUUGCAGUUCUGGAAGGACCACGACAAGGGCAUGAUGUUGUUCUAUUCGGAUGUAUAGUGUAGUUAAAAAAAUGUACAAUGUAUGGAUGUGCUAAACAUAAAGAGUUUGUUGAUGCUGUUGUGUUCCGAUGUAGAGGGUAGUUAUCAAAUUCUUCAAUGUAUGGAUGUGUUAAAAAAAUAUAUUGUUAUAAAAUAAAUAUGGAUGUUCUGAAGAAUUGAGUUUGCGUCUCUCAUUUGGAGGAUCUGAAAUACAGUAUAGAUGCAUAUUAUGAAAUUGAGUUUGUAUAUCUCAUUGGGAGGUUUUAAACUAUAAAGGCUGAACGUCGGAACAUAUAAAUAUAAUUGGAAGGUUUUGAAAUAGAAGUCUGGAUGUGCUCUAAAAAUGAGACUGUAAUACAAGCCUGAAUGUCCUCAAUAGUAAUAUGUCUGCAAUCUGACAAAAAUAUAAAUAUGGAAUGAUGCCAUGUUUUCACAUAAAGGUUACAUGUUUUCUAUAUUUGGCACUCCAUCAUCUUUUGGCACUCCAUCAAAAUUUUAUUUCUUAACAGCUAGCUAUAAUGCGGCAGCUCGAUCAACUCCCAGUAAGAGAUUUGUAUAUCCUUCUUGGAUAUCAGGAGCACCGAUGGUAGAAGAACUGCCAUACAUGUUAAAGUGUGGCAUCGUAGCAUUAGCAUAUUCUUCUUGGUUCAAAAGAGUGACCAUGUAUGAAGAUGGCCCGUACACAUCAUUUGCAAAGUUUGGCAUUGUGCUGCUAGCAUCAAUGCUACCAUCAUUAAGAUCAUGUAUCACAGAAUAUGAAACUGUUCACAAAAAGUUGCAUGUAAGCAAAUCAAAUAUGAAAAGUGAAUAUAGUCCAAGUCAUAUGACUUACGAUAAAUUGCUCUAGGUCAGCACAUUCAUAUCCUUAAUAUCUAUUAUUUGCUGCAUUUAUUGAAUCUUGCCCUAUAUUCAAACAUAUGAAGUUAACUAUACACACAUCAAAAAGGGAACAACAUCCUAGAAUGGGUAGGAUCAAUACCUUCCUCUUUACCCCUUUUCUUUUUCUUCCCUUCAUUCUUUUCAAGGGAGAUGGUCCCUCGUUUACUCUUUGGGCCUUUUACCAUCCAAGGAAUUCUAAAUGAUAUUUUACAUCUGAAUGUGUCUGUAGCACAGUGAAUUGAAAUUGGAGGAACCUCAUUGGAUUUUUCUUGCAUCUUUCUUAGAGAAUUAUCUGCUUCCAAAUCCAAAUUAGCUAUUGCAUUCUCCAAAUAAUCAAGAAGUUCUUUUGACCGUGAAUACUUCAAUGCAAUGGAUGUUGCCUUUCGUGAGAUACGUGCAGCUUGGGUUUUCAAACUUUCUUUCUCAGAUCCUUGUUUCUCAAUAUAGAAUCCUCUCUUUGCAUAUUUUGUCCAUCUGUUCAGUAUAUAUUGUGACGGUAACAUGAAAACAUUAUUCACAUUGAACACUUUGAGGGCAUGCUUGCACAAUAUACCUAUAAGAUGUGGACGUUAUAUUUCAGUAAUUUGUAUUAGAAAUUAUACUAUUGCAAUUUAAAACUUUCGCCAAGCACAAUGCAUGGUCAAAUAUGCUUUGUUGAAUACAACUGGUCCAUAAUCAGAAUAUAUAUGUAUUGUAACCAUAUGAAAACUGACCCUUCGCUGGGUAACAAUUUACACGAGUAUAUGAAAAUUGUUCCUUAAAUUAUUCCUCAAAUUCUUUAAACAUCCUCCUUGUAUAUGAAUCGGCCACGGUCUUCAAUAGAGGGAUGCAAGUAACCGGGCUCUUAUUUUCACGAAACUAAUAGAAACCUUCUCACAUUCUACAAGGAGCUUUGAAAGACCAAGUUUUCUACGAAAUCUUUUCUCGAAUAUAUUAUUUAUACCUUCACUCCUUUGAGUGGAGUUCAUAUCAGCUGUAAAUGAGUCACGAUGCAUAGCAGCCCACUUUGCUCUCAAAUCAUAUAGGUUUAACAUCCAUUCAUUAUCCUCAAGUUUGUACUCACGCAACAAUUCAUCCCACUUCUUCUUGAAGUAAAACUCUGAUCUAUCUUCAUAGACACAUCUCUUAAAAUCAAGAAGAAACUUCUCCGGAUACUCUUGAAUUACAUGACUGAGAUGUGCAGCAGCAUUUAAAUAAAUGUGCCAUAAACAAAGACGAUGGCUUGUGUUUGGAAUACAUAAGCUACUGCGCCCGCCAUGGCCACAUCAUGAUCAGUAAAAAUUGUACUAGGAUGCUUGCCUGACAUUGCUGUUAGAAAGGUUUCAAAUAGCCAAACAAAAGAUUUAAUAGUCUCAUUAAACAAUAAUGCAGCCCCAAAAAUGAUUGUCUGCUUGUGAUGGUUGGUUCCCAGUAGUGGAGCAAUGGAGCAAAAGCCAAUUCAAACUUAUUAGUCUGAAAUGUGGUGUCAAUAGACUGACCAUCUGCCCAAAAGAAAUUAGCCAUUCUAUCAUCUUCCUCAUCUAUUUCAAUGGCAUAAAAGAAUGAUGGAUCUUCUAUUUGCUUAUUUUUCAAGUAUUCCAACAAUGCUUAUGCGUCAUUGGAUUCUAAAUACUUCUUGCGCUGUCGACCAAUCUCAUUGUUGCAAUCCAUCUGUGAGAAUGACACUUUGUCAGCUCCUCCAUAAAAUUGUACUAUAAACUCAAACACCUGGGUUGGCUCUAUCCAGUCAUUCCUCAUUUGGACUAUUAGUUUCUUGUCUGUUUCUUGAACACUUCGUUGGGACCUUAGUUUCUGCCUUUUCUUUGGACUAGCAAGGUAAUGAUUGUGAUCAAGCACAACCUUAUACACUAUCCAAUUCCCCUCCUUGCUAACACUAAACUAAACACGAGCAUUGCAACCUGUCCUUGUAAUGUCUUUUGAUGACUUUGUUUGUCGAUGAUCUUGACUACUGCAAACUAUAUGUUUGUGACAGAUACUACCAUCUCCUUAGCGCUUUAUGUCGCUCUUUCUAAUACUGAACCCAAUCUUGCCUGCAUAUGUGUUGUACAUAUCAUAAGCUUUCUGCUUGGAUUCGAAAGACAUUCCAACUUCAGGAACAAUCAAAGUUUGUCCAACUUUAUUAGCCACAUGUUGUAUAAUGAGCAUUGGAAAAAUAUAAAAUAUUAUGAUCUCACUUGAAUUGUUAUUCGAGUUGCUUCAAUUACUUCAUCUGAUAUUUCAUUCGCCAUUGCUUCUAUAGUGAUCGACUCGAUAUUCUGUGCAAUCUGGCAUGUGCUUGCCGAUCAGUACUAGGCGUAGGGCGUGUACCAUCAAAACAUAGAAGAAAUAGACGUAUGUCCCUGUGUUGUUGGCUUCCCGUAGACUUCAGGAUCCCUGAUGAUCACACCAUCAUUAUGCACAGCAGGUGCCAACAACUAUCCUCCCAUGUCGGAUGCUAGAGUAGAGGACGACAUCGGAUGAGAUGAGGGCACUGUAAUCCCGAUAGCCAUCUCAUCCUCAUGGACUCCUACCAUGGUGCCUAUGUUGUAUAGGACGAUGGGAGAGGAGUUGCAUUGCCGGCAGCUACUCGCCCUAACUGACGUAUGCGUGAAGCAAUCGUGAGAGUAUGAUGUACGAUAGGCUGCCAGAUCACGUAACAAACGCGGGAAUCCAAUCUCCUGUGAGCUAAGGGUCGGAGCCUCAGAGGCUGGAGCUGAGCCUAAGUGUGAUUGAUCUCUGCGGGAGGAAGCUUAGCAGGGCUUCCAAUACUUGGAGUGUCCACACAGCAACCAUCGGGUGUCCAUCCGGACGGAGCUUUGCAGCCCGAGUGCACGAAAUUUUUUUCCGCCGAACCGGGGAGGAUUUUUGCGGUCGCGGAGCGUGCAAGCGAGGUUUGACCGCCGAAAGUGGCGUGGCGCGGAUGGCGAUUCCCAUCUAGCGGGGCUGCGACGCGUGGAUGGUGUGCGGCGUGCGCGUGUGCGGCGUGCGCGUGUGCUCCACUUGAACCUUUUUCGCAGGUUCCGUCGCGUCUACCUGUGAGUUUCGGGCACGUUGCCGAGGGUGGGCCCGCGUGCAGUGACCAAGUGUCUUCGGCCGGAUAGCUACUGCGCACCAAUUACCAAACCAGUGGGAUCAACAUGGAAAUUUGGAGCCUCUCCGCUUAACAACCAAGGGCGUUGUAGCUACACGCGAGGGCAUCUCCGCUGCGAGAAACCACUGCGAUUAUCGAAGCCGAAGAUAAUGUUGGACAGGUACAUCGUGCAAGUUUAAAUAAAACUUCUAAUUUGUCUUCAGUGUAUUUAACCCUCCUUAGAAAGUAAGUCUUACAGAAUAAAAAAAUCUCAAAUAACUUUCAUCUCUUCACUUAGCCCUUAAAGCAACUUCAAAAGUUCCUUAAAACUGCCCCAAAAUCUUAUUCAGGGGAAAAAUUAAAAAAAACUUACCUCUAUCAGCUCCCCCAUCCUUCCCGUAAAAAUACGCGGAUGCCAAAAAUACCUCCGUCGCCCCGCAUAUAUGCGCGAGUCCGAUCCUUUUCCAAUCGCCCCGAACCGCUUGUCCUCGGAAUUUCCGGUUCACGGCCGCGUAUAGCUGCAGGCACGACCAUGCAGCUGCCGCGGCACUGGUGUCGGCGCCGGCAGGAGCAGCAGCGGAGCCCGCAGGCGACGGCGAUUGGGAGGAGAGGAGGGCGGCCUCGAUGCUGUCCCUAGCUGCCAUGGUGUUGUCGACCGCGAGGUCGCAGCACUGAGGGCAGCCGGCGAAGCACUGGGUGACGAGGUGCCAGCCCCAGCACGUGAGGUGGCGGCUAUGCGCAACUGGCUGCGGCCACCAACCACCGGCGGUGCCGCGCUGGGACGAGUGGCUAAACGGCCUUGCCAAGGCCGGAGUCGACCUCAGGUGCAUGAGUGGCAUCACGGCAGACGCCGGCGAGCUUAGCUCCAGCAUGUGUGUGGUGCCGCUAUGGUCUCCAGCCUUCGCGACCUGCCCAUAGCCAUACCGGCAUGCCGCCGCCAAGAGAGAGGGAGAGCACGUCAACUCGCGUGGGGGUGCCGGUGUUGAAGCACGCGCGUGGUGCCAUGGUCAUGACAUGGCUGUCUCGAUGACUAUGCGGCCAUGCCGGAGGCGAGCUCGCCCACGGCCGUUGGGUGGUGGCGAGGCCAUCCUGCCUCCUACGGCGUGCGACGCCGUGUUCGUGGCUAUCCGCCACGGCCGCGGCGAGGAGCUAGGCUGGAGCGUGUGGCGCUCGAGCAUAGCAGCGGCGACGAGCACCUCCGUGCGAGAGGACGACAGGGUAUGGAUGUUUUGGAGAGAGAUGGAGGAUGGAGGUGAUGCAUUUAGUGCUGAUGUUGCUAGUUUUGAAGUAUUGGGAAGUUUAUUGUUGGGAUCUGCUAUGGGAUGACAUGAUUUUAGGAGAAUCAAUUUUUAAUAAAGCCCCCAAUAGAUAAUUUUGGGGGAGAUUUUUUUGACUCUUGGAGUUGCUCUAACCCUUACCAAGCUCUAGACCAGCUCUGGUUACCAAAAGCUCUCGCCACCCAAUAGUUCUAAAUAAAUAUAUUAUAUUUUAUAGCACCCAGUGCAAACACAGCACCCUAAGCUAAGGGGUUGACUCCGAGCACCCUAUGGUCCAACAUAAAGUACUAUAAGAAUCUUUACUUCCAUUCUUAAGCACCCCUGAAAACCCAACGCUAGAACUGUUCUAAGAGAUUGAGCCUUACAGAAGUACAGAUGGCAAAUAGAUGCGGUCUAAGUAGCACUGAAAGAUUGAGCAACAUAUAGCCACAAAUAACAGACGGCAUCUUUACAAUUGAUAAAUAUACUGAGUCUUUCUCUCAUAAAUUAUAUGUUAGCACUAUCUUCCGGUUCAUGAUGACCCAGAAGUAUCAUAAACGCGUUUUUUCAUCAUAAAACUAUGAUUUAUGAAGCGGGAGUGAUGAAAACCCUUCGUCAUUGACGUUCCUUAUUUCGAUGCGUCACUAAGAUAAUGACGAAUAAAAAUGCGUCCCACAAGUCGUCAUAAACUAGCUCCUGCGUAGCAUGCCACGUUGGACCACAGGCUAAUGUGGAAUGGCGGUUGUGACGAAUUGUUUCGUCAUAGAUUGAAUUAGGCCUAGUUCUUGUCGGACCAAGCCUAAUAAUUGUUAUCGUCAUAUAUUGAUUUAGGCCCAAUUCUUCUUAGACCGAGCCCAAUAAUUGCUGACGUCAUAAAUUGGUUUAUGCCUGAAUCUUGUUGGAUCAAGUGCAACAUAUGCUCACAUCAUAACUUCGUUUAGACCCAAUUCUUAAUGGAUUUAGCCGAACAUUUAUUGGCGUCAUAACACCCAUGUAAUAAUGGGCCGAGGGGGCGUGCUUACGAAAUUUUGGGCCCAGUUAUUUUGGGGUGGCCUCGGGUGUAGGUCAGGUAGCGCUUAAUUAAAAUAUAAUCUAAUUUAAUAUUAUAUACAAAUUAAUUCUGUAAUUGACAACACAAUUAAUCUGUACAUACCACCCAUACAAAUAAAUAUUUCUCGUCACACUUCACACAUUAUUAUUCAUGACCAAAGAACAAGCACAAACAUAUUGUCCAUAAGAGAUCACAAACCACUACACAUGAUAUCUCUCUGACCAAGAACAAAGCUAGCCUAGAAACACAUUGAGAACAAACCACAAUGCUCACAAACUAGCACAAGCAGCUAGGAGGACAUGAGCAAAUACCUAAGAAACACAUUGACCUUACCCUCUGAAGUUUAGCUGUUGACGAAUAAGGUACUCAGUUUCUCUUACUGCUUUCUUCAAACUCUCAAUCUCCUCAGACUGCAUUUUCAUUGCCGCAUCUGAAGCUUGUGCCUUUAUCUUCAAGUCGCUCAACAGCAGAACCACCCAAAUUAAUCCAGCUUAAGUGUGUAAACAUCACCUUAAAUGCGAUCAGACACUUUAAUCGGAUCAAGAUGGCAGUCUGUCAGGUUUCACCCAAUACAACCACGUAUUUGAGAUUGAAACAAUCAUACAAAUACUCAUACAAGAUGAGCCCAGAGAUUACAAUAAUCCAGAUGAAAACAUCACAGAGGUCCAUAAUUAUUUAUUACAAACCGAGUUCAAUUCAUAAAGUGGUUCAGAGUUCAAGUGCAGCGGAAAGAAACGAUAAUCUUAUGAUGAUACAUGACGUCAUGGUGAAGCCGUCCAUGAAAUCACUCAACACAGUCCUCACCCGCCAAGGAUGUGUCCCACUCAAACGUCCAUCCUGGAGGGAGCUGGUACAGCCAAGUUAAACUAGCAACCAUUUCAUCAAUUUCAUUACCUGAAAACAAAGCCACAAGAAAGGCUGAGUAUACUAAUACUCCGCAAGGCUUACCCGACAGGUGGUAUCUAAUCCAUCGACUCCUAGACAUGCAAGGCUUUUUGGCUGAGGGGUUGUUUUUGCCAAAAGCUUCUAAAGUGGGUUCUUGCUUUCAAGUCUUAGCAUCAAAUUUCUAGUUGAUUAACCAUUCUAGAUAAGCAUUAUUCUAUGCAAGCAUAGUAGAACAAGCAAUUUAAUCAAGCCUCAAUUUUAAGUAUCAUCAUUGUUCAUCUUCUUACUCAAUGCAGUAUAGUGGUCAAGCAGUCUCAAUAACUGCGAGAAAUAGACGAUUCGAAUUGAAUUUCUUAACCUUGCAAGGUGGAUCUAAACACACAACAUGUGCGUACCACGACGGGUCCACACAUUAUCAACAGUUCCCAUCGAUCCCCGGUGUGUGUUCAGGGCCCACUUCCCUUGGAUACAACGCCCCACCGGUCCCCAGACAACGUCGUGCCGUGGCUGCACUUGCAUCCACAUGAUGCUUCAAGGCAACCGUUUCCAGAGAGAGCAGGGAAAAAGUCCACGCCCUGGUUCAAUCAGGUACUAGGCUUACCAAUUACCAUAUUCUCAGCAAGUGUUUAGUACGUUCAAAACUUGACCAUGAACACUGACACGUUUCGACCUUAGCAAUUUCUUCUAUACAGGCGGGGCAUCAACAAAUUCAGGAACAUCGCACAAAGCCCUGGCCGUCGAGUAAAUAGGCAACUCCUAUAGUUCGCGAGUGAUAGGAAAUCACUCGACUUUUACUGUGUCCCUAUUCAGCGUAGCAACUAAGCGACCUAACAUGCUAGUAUUCAAAACAUGGGUACUAGGACCAUGCAACUAGGGUUUCAAUACAACUCCUAUGGACUUAAUGCACACACAUAAGUAACAAGAAUAUUGUAUAAAUUUGGAAACCAGGGUUAUGCUCCGGGGCUUGCCUUCCUGCCCUGAAGUAGCCUUGGGCUCUUCCGUACUUUGGUUUGGACCUUGGUUUGCCUCGAUCACGUUCAGCUCACCUUCCUGUUGUCCUUCUUUGCGUUCCAGGAUGAGCUCGUAUGUUCCGUCGGUGAGGUUAGCUUCUAUACGAGAUGCAUAUGCAUAAGAUUUCUUUUAUAAUCUUUCAUGACGUAGGUUUUUAUUUCGUUAACCAUAAAAGCAUGGGGUGUAUUUUCUUUUGGCCACAUUCACCUAGACAAGUUUAUAAAUAUUUCUUUUCUUAUGACCACAUUCACCUAGACAAGUUUAUAAGCAUUUCUUUUCUUCACAAAACAAGCUUGGUUGGAAAGAAAACAUAGAUUUUAUUUUGAUAGUGAUUGUGUACACAUAUAAAAUUAUUAGAAAUUUAGUAUUCAAAAGACAAUAGGUGGUGCUAUUUUGGUACUGUUUAGCAAACUAUUUAGGGACGACCAUGCUACUGAUGAAGAGCAUAAUUAUUUGUGAGCCUACAAAUCCUAGUAACAAUUAUAUUUACUAAAUAAACUAGCUUUUAACAUGAAUAAAUGUUAAGGAAGCAUCUGCUAGUAUUUGAACAUGAAUGAUGUACAGGAGAUUUCCCCCUACACAAGAAAUCUACUGUAAAAAUUUGAGAUGGAUUUGACAACUACAGAAUUUACUAAAAAUCAAAUAUGGUUACACUACAGAUAUGAAGAAUGACUUAUAACUAGAGUUCUUUCAUCAGUCUAGUACUACAAAUUUUUCAGAAUAGUUUCCAGCACUUCAAUAUACCAUUGUGAAUUUUUCAGGAUUUUCUGAGCAUGAGGACUAUUUAUUCCACAAUAAGGAGAUUAAAAAACAUGCAUUUUGUUAAGCAAAAAAAACACAUACUUUAUAAGAACAAGUAUUUUUACUAGUGAGAUAAGAGCAUCAGAAAACUAACAAAAUUUAUUUCGCAUUUUUAUGAUUUUUCUAUGAUUUUAUACAAAUUUCCAAAUUUUCAGCCAUUUUAACUAAAAUUAAACCCGAAAAGGAAAAACACAUUUUGCAAGAAAACCCUCCGAAACAACUUCUGUAUGAACUAGCCCCUGCAUUUUUCACUAAGGACCUUGAAACCAAAACCUAAAUCACAAUUGGGUCCUUGGCUGGCCGGCAGCUCGGGGAGCUCGAUUCCGGCGAUGUGGGGCCGCGGGGUCGUAGGCAAUAGGCAUGAGGGCGACUAGGGAUUCACUGGUGACCAGUUUGGUGUAGGGCUCAGGGUCGGAGGAUGGCCGGUAAUAGCUCGCGGCAGAGCAGUGGUGGCGUGGCAGCUUCGGCUUCGGCUCCAGCGACUGUAGCGGCGGUGGUGGAGGUUUGUGGGGCUGGGGAGGUCGAGUGUGUUGGGAUACGAGGGAGGCUACACUAGCUCAAAUCAAAAUUUCUACCGCGUAAACCAGGAAAACUGCCGUAUAAGGAUUACGGGAUUACCACUCGACGCACUACUGGUACGGAAGAUGUAGAUUCGCGUCGAUGCAGCGAAGUCGAUCAACGUAGUCGUACGUAGUCGAUCACGUCAACAUCCAGCAGCUCCUCAGCAGCUCGUCCACGUGCAGCAAGAUUGCCCUCGUGCCGCGGCUCAUCGCCGGCUCGUCGUGGCUCGUCGGCGGCUCAUCCAAGUGCUGCAGGCGCAACACCUCCAAGGUAUCCACACGUGCAGGGACGAAGCGUCGCAAGCUGGACUACUAGAUCCAUGAGUUGCAACACGCGAGGGCGUGGGAGGCGCGGCAGAUGUGUUUCGCCAAAAGGGUGUCAACCCUAGGGUGCCCCCACCCCUCUAUUUAUAGAGGUUCCUAACGGGCCUCUAGGUCCGAGGCCCAUUAGUACUUCUAAACCUAAUCCAACUCGGAUCACAUCCGAAUUGGGCCUCCAGCCCCUUAAGUGUGUGACCCUAUGGGUUCGGAUACGUAUAGACAUGGCCCGAGUACUCCUACUCAGCCCAAUAGUUGGUAGCAGCCUCUAGCAAGACGUGCCAACUCCUAUAUGCACACGAAGAUCAUAUCAGACGAACCAUCACAACAUUAUAUACAUGAUAUUCCCUUUGCCUCACGAUAUUUGGUCUAGCUUCAAGCCAACCGCUCUUUCUCGAUUCUGUGAUUCGGAAUCCCUUUGUAGCUUAACUCUUAACCGUACAUAGCAUGGUCAUGCAUUUUCGGAUCCGAUCACUCGAGGGGCCCAGAGAUAUCACUCUCAAUCAGAGAGGGGCAAAUCCCAUCUUGAUUGAUCAUGUCUCACAAUGCUUCUUGACAAACCCGAAAGCUACCCUUAUAACUACCCUAUUACAGCGUAGCGUUUGAUAGCCACUAAGUAGGUCGAUCCACAUCUUGAAUACAUGCGACAAUAUCAGGUCUAAGGACAAAGCGUAUAUGUUGUUUAAAGAGAGAACUACUUCUCAUGUUGGGUCAGUUCCAGCACAUGUCUCCACAUGUGCCCACAUUAUUAGUUCAACAUCUCCAUGUCCAUGACUUGUGAAACAUAGUCAUCAACUAAUACAUGUGCUAGUCUAAUAUUCAGGUGUGUCCUCACAUGAACUCCGACUAGGGACAACUUUAGAAUAACCAUACAAGUAAAGAGUUUCACAUACAAUUCACAUAAUUGCAAAUCAAUUCAAGUAGCCUUUAAUGGAUAUUCAAGGAACACAAUAUAAAUCAUGGAUACAAAUGGAAUAUCAUCAUCUCUAUGAUUGCCUCUAGGGCAUACCUCCAACACAAACAGAUGGAAAAAUGGAAAGGGUAAAUCAAAUCCUUGAGGACAUGCUUCGAGCUUGCAUCAUUCAUUAUGAUAAAAACUGGAUAAAUGCUUGCCUCUAGUAGAAUUUUCUUAUAACAACAGCUACCAAGCUAGUUUGAGGAUGGCACCAUUUGAGCCCUUGUAUGGUCAUAGGUGUCGAACUUCGUUGAGUUGGUCCCAAGCCAGAGAGCAGAAAAUAUUUGGAUUAGAUUUGGUAAUUGAGGCAGAAGAAAAAGUUAGGGUAAUACAUAAACACCUUAAAGCCGCCCAAUCUAGACAAAAGAGCUAUUUUGACAAGAGGAGAAAACCCUUGCAAUUCGAAGUUGGUGACCAUGUAUACGUCCAGGUUUCACCAACCAAAUAUGUGCAAAGGUUUGGAGUCAAGGGAAAACUAGCCCCUCAAUAUAUUGGUCCCUAUGAAAUCACUGAAAUUUGUGGACCGAUGGCCUAUCGAGUGAAACUUCCACCAAGACUCUUAGCUAUCCACGAUAUCUUCCAUGUCUCUCAACUUAAGAAAUGUGUUCGAGUUCCAACCGAGGUUGUCGAAUAAGAGGAAAUAUGGGUAGAACCGGAUCUUUCUUAUGUUGAGUUUCCCAUCAAGAUUCUUGAUCGCAAGGAAAGAAGGACUAGGCGACAAGUGGUAAAAAUGUUUAAAAAACAAUGGAGCCAUCAUACCGAAGAUGAGGCAACAUGGGAAAUCGAAGAAUUUCUCAACAAAAAUUUCCGUGGUUUCCUACUCAAAAUACACGCACAUCCACACUAGUUUUUAUCACCCGAAUCUCAGGACGAGAUUCUUUUUAAGGGGGGUAGGUUGUGACAUCUCAAGUAAUUAAGAGCCAAUUUAAGAGAAAUUGAGAAUAAAUCAAAGAAGAAUCAAAAUUGUUAAGUGUUAAACACCUUUGUAAUGAUGUACUUGGGAAGAAAAAAAAACAAAUUUUAUAUAAGAACUUAAUUUUUGGCUAAUAUAAAAGUGGUAGAUCUCUUCAAAUGGAGCAAAUUUCAUUAUUGACACUUUUCUUGAUUUUGAGUGGAAGAUGUUCAAAAAUUGAGUUGAAGUUCAGCCGAAAAUACAAUCAUUUUCAAAACCAGUUUUAGCCGGCGUUCUACCAAACUUCUCCCAAAUUUAUCUCCAAAUCCAUCGAGUUUUUCAACUGUCAGCCUUUACAAAAGUUGUACCUAUACUUUGAGCUCCAACUUUUAUAUUGAAAGAUUCAAACGUGUAGUUCAAAAAUUGAGAAAAAAUUCGCAGUGAAGCAGGCCCCUUCGCACGCCAUACGGGCAUGCGACACACCCUGGGCACAGUCACCACGCUCGUGACGUGCUCGCCGUCACUACGUGGCGCCAGAUUUCUACCGCCGUGCUGUGCCAAGCCAAUUGCUGGUGGCGAGGCGACAACACAGGCGCGCAGCAGCUCGUCCAGCCCCCACGCACGCUAUCUCCCUCCCCCGCAUAGCGAAUCCCCGGUGGCCAACCACGCCCACAACACGUCGCAGCGCCGGUGCACGCCACGGCUGCUUGGCCACUCCCACGCGCUCGGCCACCGCCCCGCAGCGCCAAUGUGCUGAGAGGUUUGCCUGGAUGCCUCGCCCCUCCCUAUCCCCUUUGCCGCCUAUAAAAAGGCCCCCUACAUAUUCCUCGCAGGCCACCCGCACACCCGCCGCUCCGCCAUUGCCACCGCCCGAUGAGCACCUACUUCCAGCCAUCCCCGUCGCCACCCAAGCACACAAGUGCCUUCCCCUACCACCACUCUGUUGGAGGUAUGCCCUAGAGGCAAUCAUAGAGAUGAUGAUAUUCUAUUUGUAUCCAUGAUUUAUAUUGUGUUCCUUGAAUAUCCAUUAAAGGCUACUUGAAUUGAUUUGCAAUUAUGUGAAUUGUGUGUGAAACUCUUUUACUUGUAUGGUUAUUCUAAAGUUGUCCCUAGUCGGAGUUCAUGUGAGGACACACAUGAAUAUUAGACUAGCACAUGUAUUAGUUGAUGACUAUGUUUCACAAGUCAUGGACAUGGAGAUGUUGAACUAAUAAUGUGGGCACAUGUGGAGACAUGUGCUAGGACUGACCCAACACGAGAAGUAGUUCUCUCUUUAAACAACAUAUACGCUUUGUCCUUAGACCUGAGAUUGUCGCAUGUAUUCAAGAUGUGGAUCGACCUACUUAGGGGAUAUCAAACGCUACGCCGUAACAGGGUAGUUAUAAAGGUAGCUUUCGGGUUUGUCAAGAAGCAUGCUGUGAGACAUGGUUAAUCAAGAUGGGAUUUGCCCCUCUCUGAUUGAGAGUGAUAUCUCUGGGCCCCUCGAGUGAUCGUAUCCGAAAAUGCAUGGUCAUGCUACGUAUGGUUAAGAGUUGAUCUACAAAGGAAUUCCGAAUCACAGGAUCGAGAAAGAGCGGUCAACGUGAAGCUAGACCAAAUAUCGUGAGGCAAAUGGAAUAGCAUGUAUAUAAUGUUGUGAUGGUUCGUCUGAUAUGAUCUUCGUAUGCAUAUAGGAGUUGGCACAUCUUGCUAGAGGCCGCUACCGACUAUUGGGCCGAGUAGGAGUACUCGGGCCAUGUCUAUAUGUAUCCGAACCCAUAGGGUCACACACUUAAGGGGCUGGAAGCCCAAUUCGGAUGUGAUCCGAGUUGGAUUAGGUUUAGAAGUACUAAUGGGCCUCGGACCCAGAGGCCUGUUGGGAACCUCUAUAAAUAGAGGGGUGGGGGCGCCCUAGGGUAUAUACCUUUUUGGCGAAACACAUCUGCCGCGCCUCCCACGCCCUCACCUGUUGCAACUCACGGAUCUAGCAGUCCAGCUUGUGACGCUACCUCCCUGCACGUGUGGAUACCUUGGAGGUGUUGCGCCUGCAGCACUUGGACGAGCCGCCGACGAGCCACGAUGAGAUGACGACGAGCCACGGCACGAGGGCGAUCUUGCUGCACGUGGACGAGCUACUGAGGAGCUACUGGAUGUCGACGUGAUCUACUACGUACGACUACGCUGAUCGACUUCGCUGCAUCGACGCGAAUCUACAUCUUCCACACCAGUAGUGCGUCGAGUUGUAAUCCCGUGAUCCUUAUACGGCAGUUUUUCCUGGUUUAUGCGGUAGAAAAUUUUGAUUUGCGCUAGUGUAGCCUACCUCAUAUUCCUACAGUUUGAGGGUGAUAAGUCGAGCUACGGAUUAGUUUAGUGCAAAGAGAAGCUUGCAACUAUUCCUAGAAGCGUGCCACAAACUGAGUACCUCGAUCUGAGAUGAUCAUUUUGGGUACUCCAUGUAGGCAAACAAUGUGAUCAAGAGAUAUCUCGGCAUACCUCUUGGUUGAGUAGGUUGUAUGAACCGGAAUAAAAUGUGCCAUUUUAGUAAGUCUAUCAACUAUAACCUAUAUCUAAUCAUGCUUCUGAGAGGUGUUGGGCAAACCAACAAUGAAGUCCAUACUUAUAUCCUCCCAUUUCCAUGACGGUAUAGGCAAUGUUUGAAGAGUACCAGCUACUCUUAAGUGGCUUGCCUUUAGUCUUUGACAAGUGUCGUAUUCCGACACAUAUUUAGCAAUCUCUCUUUUCAUCCCAGUCCACCAAAAAUUUUGUUUGAGGUCUUGGUACAUUUUGGUGCUACCCGGAUGAAUAGAGAACUUGGAGAGAUGUGUCUCAUCCAGGAUUUGUUUUCAGAGAUCAUGAUUCUCUGGAACAACCAUGCGGUCCUGAAACCAUACAACUCCCUUCCAAUCUUGGCGGAAAAAUUUAUAUUUCUCUUCCCCUUGAGAGAGCUUUUGCAAUAUAAUUUUUAUACCUUCAUCAUCUAACUAUGCCAUAACAAUUUGAUCGUGUAAGGUAGGUUCAAUAGAAAUGUGAUUCAUUGUGCCUUGAGGAAUAAUUUCCAAAUUAAGCUUCCUCAUUUCAUGACACAAAGUUUCUAUAAAGGAUUCUGCGGAAAGGCAAUUGCAAUGAGCCUUGUGGUUUAAUGCGUUCACAACCACAUUGGCCUUCCCGGGGUGAUAGUGCACCUCGAGAUCAUAAUCCUUAAUUAACUCCAACCACCUCCUUUGACGCAUAUUCAGAUCAGCUUGGGUAAAGAUAUACUUGAGUCUUUUGUGGUCUGUGUAGAUAUUGCAAUGAGCACCCAUCAGAUAAUGUCUCCAAAUCUUUAGAGCAUGAAUGACUGCUGCUAGAUCAAGGUCAUGUGUUUGGUAAUUCUGCUCGUGAGGACGAAGUGCACGUGAAGCAUAAGCAAUGACUCGGUUAUCUUGUAUAAGAAUAUAGCUGAGACCAAUGCCAGAGGCGUCACAGUAAACAUCAAAGGGCUUGGUGUUAUCGGGUUGAGCUAAGACUGGUGCUAAAGUCAGUUGUUUUCACAGAGUGUGGAAAGCUUCUUCACACUUUUCGCUCCAUGCAAACUUGACUUCUUUCUUUAACAACUCCGACAUUGGCUUAGCAAUUUUUGAGAAGUCCGAAAUGAAACGACGAUAAUAGCCUGCUAGAUCAAGGAAACUUCUAAUUUGAUGAACGGAAGUGGGUGGCUCCCAAUCCAUCACUUCUUGUACCUUGCUUGGAUCAACGGCUAUGCCUUCACUAGAGACGGUGUGUACCAAGAAUUUCACACUAUCCAACCAAUAUUCACAUUUGGAGAAUCUGGCAUAAAGCUAAUGAUCUCUAAGGCGUUGGAGAACAAUACGAAGAUGUUGGGCAUGUUCUUCUUCAUUUUUGCAGUAUAUGAGGAUGUCCUCAAUGAAGACCACAAUGAACUUGUCAAGCUCGGGCAUAAACACCAAAUUCAUGAGAUACAUGAAGUAGACAGAAACAUUCGUGCGACUAGGUACUCAUAUAAUCCAUAUCGAGUGGAGAAGGCGGUCUUAGGGAUGUCACUCGGCCGGAUCUUAAUUUGAUGAUAUCCAGAGCGGAGAUCAAUUUUGGAGAACACUCUACCUCCAGCUAGUUGAUCAAAGAGGACAUCAAUACGGGGUAGAGAAUAUUUGUUCUUGAUAGUCACUGCAUUGAGAUGUCGGUAAUCUACACACAUCCUCAAACUAUCAUCCUUUUUCUUUACAAAGAGAUCUAGGCAGCCCCAAGGCGAUGUGCUUGGGUGAAUAAAACCCUUUUCUAGUAGCUCUUGAAGUUGGGUUUUUAAUUUUGCCAACUCCACAGGCAGCAUUCAAUGAAAAACUCAAUGUCCCUAUCCGGCGGCAUUCCUGGCAAGUCAUCCGGAAAAACAUCGGCAUACUCGCAUACCACAGGAAUUUCUUCUAGUCGGGACCCUAUUGUUAGAAAAGCGCACAAAUUUAUGCACUCUCGAGAUGGCAAGCAAAGUGUGGAGGAUCCAUGUGUGGGUGAAUUUAUAUCGACGGCCCGUGCUGCAAUGUCUAAUGUGUUUUUGUGCUCAGUCAUCCAAUUUGUCCCCAAAAUAUGUAAAUGCCUUCAAGUCCCAAAAUAAUAAGGUCGGUUUUAAAAAUUUUACUACCCAACUUGAGUGGCACACGACGUGCUAUUUGGUUGGAAGCAAUUUUACCACUGGGUGUUGAAAUCAUAUAAGACCCUUUUGUGUGACACAAAUCCAAUCCACAUUUACCACUGAAUUUUGAUCCAAUAAAACUAUGUGAUGCACCAAAAUCAAAUAAUAUAAUUGUAGGCCGGAUAUGGAUAGAGAAAGUACCCAUCAUCACCUGUACACCCACGGGAAGAUCGGCGAGAAUGGUGAAAUUGAUCCUUCCUUGUUUGACCUGGACUGUCUGCUUCUUGCCCUUGUUCUGACUGGAGCCUUGCCCCUGAUUCUGGGGUCUAUUCUGGGGGCAUUCUCUGGCAAAGUGAUUAGGACUCCCACAAAUGAAGCAACGAUUCCCAUUGCCAGGACGAGCUGGCUACUGAGCAUUGGACCUUGGGCCUUGCUGCUGGAAACUAGGGAAACGUGAAGUUCCCUGCUGCUGUGGUGGCCUGAUCACCCAACGUCCAGGCUGUGGGGCUCUCUAGGGAACCCUGGGUGGAGUGUUCUGGACUAUCCAAAACUUCUGAUUUGGGGCACUAACUGGUGCAAUUGGGGCCUUCCUCUUUUUGUCUGCAUGAUGAGCCAUAAUACAAUCCUCUUGUGAGAUUGCUAAGUUCACUAACUCAUUAUAGCUGUUUGUUUUGAUGGGAUUCAGUUGGUCCUUGAGCUUGGUGUUGAGACCUCGACGAAAACGGUCCCUCUUUUUCUCAUCCGUGCCAGCAUGAUAGCCUGCAUACUGACAUAAGUCAUUGAAAGCAAGAGCAUAUUGGAGUAUAGUGCACGUGCCCUGAGUUAGUGCCAGAAACUCAUUGAACUUCCUGUCCAACAGUCCUUCUGGAAUAUGAUGGGCUCUGAAAGCAGUUUUGAAUUCCUCCCAGGAAACAACAUGAUCUACUGAGAGUAUGGCAAGGUAGUGAUCCCAUCAUAAAUGUGUCGAGCCUCAAAGUUGCUAUGCAGCAAACUUCACCUUGUUCUCAACAGGACAAACUGUCGCGAGUAGAGAGAACUUGGAUCCAAUGGUGCGAACCCAAGCAUCCGCGUCCAAAGGCUCGUCUGUUUUUAAAAACAAAGGGGGCUAAGUGCCUAGGAAAUCUUGGUAGCUAGCAACCUAGGGUAUAUGGACAUUUUGCCCACCCUGGUGCUGUUUUUGUUGCUGCUAUCCUUGGACAAGUUGUCGUAGCAACUCGGUUUGGGCAGCCAAAAUUGCCUCCAUGGAAGGCGGGGGUGGUGGUGGCGGUUGCCGUUGCUCGCUGCCACUACCUCCAAAACCACCGGGGUUUUGAUGUGUCCCAUUCACCAUCUGCAGGGGUGAACCUUUCUAUUAGUCACAUAAUUUUCAAACUUACUCACAAAAAGAUGAAACAAGGUAGAAUAUAUGUGGAAUAUUAAAGUUCAAGAUGCAGUUAAAUAAUGUGGGCAGAAAACUAUAACUAGAAUAAAAUUCAUAUCUCCUGACUCAAGCACCCAUAAGUUCUCAUAUUUGGUCAGUGAGUAGGAAAUUUAGUAUUCUAUAACUUUGGUAUUCAACUCAGAGACCAAUUCAAGGGUUAUAUAGGCCAAACAAUUCCAUCUUUGCCUCUCUGUUCUGGCUGUUUUUUAGCAGGCCGAGCUGCAAUGUUUGACUCAUGACUCGAGUUAAGGAAGUCCAAUGAUACUGAAAUUUUGUGAUAAUUUAGGCUAUCAAAUUCCCAACAACUUUGGUAUUCAUCAAACAGCCCAGAGAUGAAAGGAAACUAGGUUAAAAAUCUAAACAUGUUUCUUCUGCAGAAAGUCGGCAGUCACACGUCGAUUACAUCAAGUGCCAAGUUUUUGGGACCUACCUUCAUCAUCAAGGUGUCACAAUUGUAGCAUCUGCUGCACAAAAUAAUACUCAACUCUAAGCUAGCCUACUACAUCCAAGGUUCAAAAGUUAGGCUACGCUGAGGAGUAUACACAAAAGCUAUCUUAAACAUCUAGAAGUCAUCCAAGUUGUUGACGAAAGACACACUACGCAUCGGGGAGUGAGCUCCCCCAGGUGGUGGCUGUGGUGCUCUGCUCUCCGUGUCCAUACUGGAGAUACCCUCUAUCUCCUCUGGGUCCUCCUCAUCCUCCUCCAUGUCAGCCGGAAGAUCCUGCAGAGCUACCUCCUGCUCAUGGUGCAUCUCGAUGUGCACGUUUGCGUCCUCUAACUCCAUGUUCAGGACGUGAAUCUGAUCUUCCAAGUGGUCAAUAGUAGCCACUCUGUCACUUAGCUCCAUCUUGAGCUCUUCCACCUGAAGCUCCAACUGGUCAAUCCUCGUGUCCUUGUCAACCAGCUCAAUUGAGAGGUCAAUAAUCUGGCUGCUCCUAUCAUUCACUAUCAUUUGAUUUGCCUGUGCCAAAUCGGACAACUGAGCCACCGUCUUGCUCUGGACAGCCUGAAGAUGGUACAGUGCAUUCAUGCACCAUGCGGCAGUGAGGAUCAUCUCCUGAGGACAAAUGCACCCUAGAACAUCCAUGUGGUCUACUCUGUCAAGCCACAUGAGGUCGCCCUCCUAUGCUACCUAGAAUAGACCCACGGGGGUGACAGCAAUCUCCUCCGGGUGCUGACUACAGAAGGUAGUGAGCGCCUGCUCCUCCCACAUGUCGUCGAGGCGGUACUCCAAAGUCUCAACCUCCAAAGUAGGCCACUCGGGGGUGUACCGGGUGGGGGAGAAGUGUGAGGUGCACGCGGCAACGAGGCACUUCGUGCUCCUCGAACUCCUGUCCCAUGUAGCGGGGAGGGGUAGUAUAGCCCACCGAGCUUAGAACGCCCCACAAAAUAGAAAGAAAGCCCUCCUAGUGUAGGCACUCGGCGUGAACAUGCCCGUCCAUGUCAACCACAAUGUAAAUGGGGUCAGCCAUCUGGAAGAAAACAAAAACAAGGGAGUGUGUGAGCUAGAAAAACCACUUAUCCAAGAAUGAUAACAGAUUUCUGGAUAGAUAGUAAACUGGUCGUAACUCGAGAAGUAGCUGUCUCAAACCUCCCAAAUUUUACCAGAAUGUCCCUUAGGUAUUUGGUCACAACUUUGUUAUUCAAAACUUUUGCUCAAACAGCCUCCAAGAGGGUCAUAAACUCGGAUUUCUCUACUGUUGUCUAACCUGUUUUUGUGCAAAACAGCUACCUAGAUUUUUAAUUUGUAAUUGAGGAAUUAUUAGAGCAAUCCUACAAAACAAUGGGGGCAUCAUUAAGGUUGGAACAAAAUUUGUAUUCAUCGUUAUUUCAUAAAACUUCAUUAAGAGGGUUGAAACACUCAAAUAAUAGGUAGGGUUCAUUGAAGGUAGAAAACUGAGGGACAGAUUAUUUCUAGAGUUAUCUUCAAGAAGUUUUUCGAAGUGCUUUAGUACUAACCCAUCCUUAUUUAUUUUAUUUUUAUUUUUAUUCCAUUUUCAUUUAUGAUCAUGAUGCAUGCGCAUCCUAAUCAUCCUCACAAGGUAAGCAAUUGCCCAAUAACCUUGGACUCACAGGGUUAGUGCCGGUGGCAUGGCAUAAAUUAUGGCUCUCCCUAUAAUAUCUAACUGAAUUUCUAACCAUUAUUUAACUUAACGUAAUUGUGGUUAGUGUACCUGCAAAAGAUCAUCCAUAGUAUAAAUUGAACCUUUCGUGCUAGCACUCACCAAAACAUCCCCAUUCAUUACCAUUCACUAUAGAAACGGCAUCCGCACGAUUUUCACUAUACGGACAAUGUUCUGAUUGGAGACGGUGGUCCCGGUCAUCUGUCAACGGCAUCGGGGCUUCCCCCACCACACCCCGGUGGCCCUGCGAUGACCCUCGCAGGUGUUGCAGAGCGAUCGGGGCCCCAUAGGGCCCGCCCUCCACUGUGAUGCCUCGGUGGCGCCGCAGUCGCCACACCUCGUCACCGUCGUGGUGCUCGGCGGUAGCGGUGCGACGCGGAGCGUCAAGGACCUCCCUCGCGACCCCUCGACUCGUACAUGAGAGACGUGAGGAACAGCAGCAUCCAUUGGAGAAGAUGACGACGGAGAGAACGAGAAGGCACCGGGUCCGCGUGAUGGCUAAUAUGGAGUAGCGAGGUUGAGAUAGCGUUUCUUAGCGAGGUGAGGACGUAUUUUACAUUAGUAUUUGUUAAUAAUCGUCCCAUAUUGAUUUUCAACCUAUCAAAAAACUAAUGCACUAUUCCAACUACAUUCUCAUUAAAUAAAACAUAAAAUUUGAUCCAUCUUGGUUUCUCAAGGCAUGCGAGUAGGAGAAUGACCCAUUGGGAAAUAAAUGAGGGAAGAUCAGAAAUUGGUUUCAAGUAACCAUGCCUACACGAGAACCAAGGAAGACCGGCUACAUGCACAUGGAGGAUGUGACAUUACACAGGGCUAGAAUGUGGACGGUUACCACGUUAAUCCUCAGGUACAAAUUACAAUUCAUUACAUUUUUUUACAAAUUAUAGUUCGUUACAAUUUUUGGGAAAAAUAUGUACAGACGUAUGAUAAGUUAUAGGAAAAGUGAAUAGGACGGACCAAUAUGUUCGAUCCUUUGUAGGAAAAAAUAGUUUAAAUUUUGGCAAGGUGAGAAAGGAUUUCCUUGAUUUUGAGAGAGAGAUAUGAUUGUAUUAUUUGUUAAUAUUCAUCCCAUAUUGAUUUUCAACCUCUAAAAAAACCGAUGCACCAUUCCAACUACAAUCACAUUAAAUGAAACAUAAAAUUCAAUCCAUCUUGGCCUCUCGAGCUAUGUGAGUAGGAGAACCACCCCUUGGGAAAUAAAUGAAGAAAGACAAGAAAUUAGUUUCAAGUGAGAGUAACCAUGUCUACAUGGGAACCAAGGAAGAGAGAAAGGGUGAGGGAGAGGAAACAUAGCAAACAGAGCAAACAGAGCACGAAAAUAGGGGAUUGAUCUUCUAACAAAAAGAAACAAUCCAUUGAUCUUUCAAACAAAAGAUAACAGCAUAGAAGAAAUGGUUAGGGUUCCAACAAAAUCUAAAGUUACUAAUUAACAACAUAUCAAACAUAACUGCAUUGAUCUUCCAUAGGCGCGGCUUGCUCACCCCAGCCACCCCUCAUUCCGAGCCACGACAUGGUGGCGGCUCCAUUUCUUCUUAUUCUUGCCCCUCAGGGGCGCGGACGUUGCCAUCCCCACGAUGUGGUCCUUGACCUAAUUCAGGAUCUUCCACCAAUGCCUCAUGCUAGGGAAGACGGGGCACGCGAAGAUGUUGUCAGCAUGGCGGAAGACAUGCAAAGCAUCACCUCGGGGGAAGGGCGUGUGGUAGCCGUGGUGACGGUCGUCAGAUGAGUCCGUCUUAGUCUGCGACUCAAAGUUGGAGUCAAACGCAUCAGCUGGAAGGGUCACCUUCGAGGUCAACUUCAGGGGCGACAAUGAGGACGAGGGGGUGUAGGAAGCCGCCCCCACCGUGGAGGAGGCUGGGAAUGCACUGGGGAGCCCCCAGCGGCUCUUCAGUGACCAUCCGCGAGCGACGUCAGGUUGAGGUCGGUGGUGUCAGAGCGCUAUCCCAAUGACGAGCGCGACAGUGGGUUGAGGUCCGUGUUGAUGUAGCACUGUAGCGCUACCGAGAAGUUGGUGCGGCCAGCGGCGCAGCGGGAGCGCGACGAUGAGGAGGAGGCGCCGGAGGAUCGCCCGAUGUGCAUGAGGGAGCCUACGUGGGAGAGGCGGUACGACAGGGAGCCGGAGGAGGUAGGGGCUGAGGGGGAGACGAAUCGCUUCAUGGCAUUGGUCGGGCUGCAGGGGUGAGGUGCGCGCGUCGGGGACGAGAUGGUAGUGGAACCGGCGACGACACUGAUGCUGUUGGAAAUGGCGAUUAAAUAAGAAGUUCCUCGCUUUCCAUGGGAAGGUGCACCUCUUGAGGAUGGCAACUGGCACCUCUCGAGAUAGGUAACUGCCUCCUCGAAGAAUGUGUGGGAACAGAAACCGGUAUAGCAACCGCCGGAGGCCGUGGCAUCGAAUAGUCGAUCUGAAUCAUCGAUGUGCAGAUGACCGGCUACGAGGAGUAGGCAACGCCCGCCUCAGUGGCAUGUUUUCAUUUCCAUAAAGAACCAUAAAAGCCAGUUCCUACGCAAGUGUGCAGUUGGUCUAGUGGUAUGGAUUGCCCACCACAAACAUGUGGUCUUGGGUUUGACUCCUAAGGAGUCACUUUUGUCUUGCCAUAUUGUGGAGGAACACCUCGGAUUAACUUAGCUAAAGCACGGUUAAGUCGCCUAACACGCGAAUAUCAUGCUUUAAUCAAGUUAACUCAACGAUCCGUCGGAUUUCAUCCGAUUAAACCACUUAAAGAGGACCGAGUUAGCAUAGCUCACACGAAGGCGAGUGGUUCCAGAGAAUACAACAGAUCAAAUACUUAGUCCAACGAUUCAUUACACACUAGUUUGAAAUCAGAGUUUUACAAGGUUCAAAAGCAAUGGAAGAUAAAAUAUAGCGGAAGCUAGCGCCGGGGUUGGAUGUCCCUGGUGAGGCCAAACAGGACAUCAGUGAUCCCACUCCUCGUCGCCCGAGGAAGGAUCCCACUCGACCGUCCACCCAGAAGGAAGCUGGGGCGGCCAAGUGCCAACAGCAGCACGCUCGGAAGUUUCAACUUCACCUGAAAAGAGAUGCCACAAACAAGGCUGAGCUUCUAAGCUCAACAAGACUUAACCGACCGGUGGGAAAACUACUCCACCACUUCUAGACAUGCAAGGCUUCUUUGGCUGAGGGGUUUGUUUUGUCAAAAGCGACUACAAUAGGUCCUCACUUUCAAUAUUUUAGCUCAGAUUCCAAGUUCCUUAACCAAUCUACAUUUGAAACUUAUGCUAAACAAACAUAGUUUCCAACCACAAUGUGUAGAACAAGCAGCGAGUUCAUAUCAUCAUCAUGUUCUGUCUUUACUCAGUGUAGCAUAGCGAUCAAGCAGUCUCAAACUGUGAGAGGCAGACGAAUCGAUUCGAGUUCCUUAACCAUGCAUGGAGAAUCUAACCUCACGACAUCCACGCACCACCGAGGGUCGCUUCCUGUGUCGGCCGCCCCCAUCAAUUCCUUGACCCGUGUCGGGCCCACUUCUCUUGGUGCAAGGUUCCAUAGACCCGGCCUCUACCAUUCCGUGACCACACUUGCCACCACAUGCGGCCAUAGGGGAACUCUAUUCCAGAGACAGUGGAUCGAACUGCUCACGUCUAGGUUCAAUCAGGUACUAGGCUUCCCCAUCCCAUAAUGGGUAUGAGAUUAGUACUUUCAAACACUUGAUCACGAACAUCACCACUGUCGGACCUUAAACAGAUUCAAGUAAACAGACGGGGCGAUCAGCCGACCACCAAAAGAGUUCACCAAGCCCUGCCCCGUCCAUCGUCCUUAUAGUUGUAACCAGAAGGAGAACAACCAACUCCUAUAACUCGCGAGUGACAGGAAAUCACUCGAGUUCUGCCGAGCCCUAUUAAGCAUUGCAACUACUUGAACUCAACAGACUAGUGUUCAGAUCAAGGGAACUAAGUCAUGCAUCUAUGGUUUCAAACAACUCCUAUAACGUAAAUGCACAUACAUAUGAAGGAAGGCAUGUGCAAGUUUAGAAGACUGGGUUCAUGCUCCGGGGCUUGCCUUCGAGCGGGGUGGAGGCGAACUGGUCCUCUGUGGGUUCUGCUUCAGCUCCUGCGGUCGGCGGCUCAGCUACUGCUCCGUCUUCUGGCGCCGGAUGCAGUUCGUUUGUGCCGUCGGCGAGAUUUAGCUCUACACGGAAGUGCAAUGUAAGGUUAAACAUUUAGACGGUUAUUUCAACAACACUUGCACGUUUUAGCGCAGACACUUGUAGCAAAGCUGCAGGAAAGGUGUGGAGGAGUCCGACUUCCGUUGGUGGAGAACAGGAUAAAAGGGUCGGAUUGGGAGAAACUUAUGAUCUAACCCUUAGACUUAAGGAAUAACUAUAUCGGGGUCCUUAGACUUAACACAGAGAAGUCCCCGAAAUUUUACACAGAUACCCUCGGGUCAAAGAAAAAGAUUCAACUGAGCCCUCGGGCGAGGUGGAUAAGGGUCGGUGAAACAGACAGGAUCGGGCGAGACGGAAAAAGGGGUUGGGCGAACCGGGAAGGGGGUCAGCAACUUACCUUCAGAUCUACUGGUGAAGUCUUAGGGUCGGGAAGGAAUAGACUUAGGUGGAAGGACUAAGGCGUUAAGGCUUGGAUGGCGGCGAGGUUCGACGGUGCUCCAGCGGCGGCGGUGCUUCUUGUGGACAACAAGCAAGCUCUUGCACUGUGCGGAGGAAAACAGGCGGCUGGUGGGUUAGGGAGAAGCAGGUUUGAGCGGAGAGGGGAACUUUCUCAAGAGCUUAAGCAGCAGUGCUCAAGUGCGAGCAGAGUAUGGUGCGGCGAAACAGCGAUGGUGAAGGAAACUCCGGUAGGGGCUCUGGUACUCCUUUUUAUAGCUGCGCGAAAGGGAGAGAGAGAGAGAGAGAGAGAGAGAGAGAGAGAGAGAGAGUUUGAGCCGCGCGAAGAUCAGGUUGAAAAGGGUGGAGUGCUCUGCCUUUGCGGCGAUUAGGCGGUGCCUCCAUUGGCCAGCGAAGCAGAGCUUCGGGGAUAGGGUCUUUGGUCAUUGGGCACUGGAGACAAAGCCGGCACAGGCGUGGUUUUGCCGGGAUUAAGAGUUGGCGAAGGCGAGCAAGGUCUGGUCACGUCAAGCGGCGGAUUGUGGGCGGCGACUUGACUGGCGUGUGACAGGGAGGAAGGCACUGCAAGUGAGGUCACAGCAGGCGAGGUGACAGGGCGAGCGGCGGCAUGAGCGAGCGCAGAACAGCGGCUUGCCGAGGCACAUCACUGGCAAGGCGGAAAAAGGAGCUGUCUCUGCCGGAGCCGUGGUUGGCGAGGGCGGUAUCGUCGUGGAGCGCGCGCGUGGGCGGCGCGACUGUGGAGAGGCGGAAAUGCCGGAAGGCAUCGGGGCGCGCGGCCGGGAAUCCGAGCGAGGUGAUGGGUGCGGGAUGCGAGGCAGUCUGGCGCGGCAGCGGCAAAACCUCUGACACGAUGGUGACAGGGCGCAUUGGCGCGGCCGGCAAGGGUGCGAGCGAGACGAGGCGAGGCAGAAAGGGCUGCAGGGGCUUCCGCGCGUGAUUGGGAGGGAGGCACGCUGAUCUAUCUUGUCGCAGCCGGCAACUGGGCGAGGCGGCGCGCGUCGGAGAGGUUGAGCCACGCGACGGGGAAGCUCUGAAGCGGGGCGCAUGCUGCUCUAGCGCGUUUGACUCGAGAGAACCGGGGAUCUAGUCGCGGGUCCUCCUUCCAGUCUCUGGCUUUCCCACCGCUCUAAGAUUUUGGAGGAACACUGCUUUGGGACUUAGGGAAGAGCUGCUACUUGCUGGGUUGGUGCGAUUUUGCUGGGUUUUUAGGGGUCGGACCGGUGGAAAUUGCAGAUUGGGAUUAGUCUUGAGAUUAACUCGGCUGGUUAACCAAGGUCGUUACACAUAUUUUUAUCAAUUUUUCACCAGAGUAUUCCUGGAGUAAAAACACUAAUAACUUCCCAAACAAUUUUUUUCAAGUGCCUCAGCACCAUCACAAAUUGACAAAUUCAGAAAAAAUCAAGAUGGUUGACCAUAGAUAGAAACAUCACAAAUACAGACAAAGGAAACUAUGUUAAGACUGUUCACCAUAGCUAAGAACUUCACCAUCUACUUAAUUAUUUUUGCCACCGAGCAUCAAUCCUGCGACAACAACAAAUAAAGCAAGCAGCAUGUGCACGAGCUUGACAAUGUGCCUAUAAUUCCCAAUGAACUUCAGCUUGGCAGUAGCCUUCUGAAGUUGUUGGCACACCGUUUUGAGCUCAUUCCUAAUCUCUCUAAGCUCACUAUUAGUUUUUGUCAAUUCUUCCUCCUACUUCUUUGCAUCCUUCUCAGCUUGCACCUUCUUCUUCAUGAGCUUCACCAGAACACCAAAGGCCCUAUCAUCCCAUUCUGGAUCAACCGAAAUCAUGUAACCGCAUUGCUUCUUUUCAUCCUGCAAAUUAAACGCCCCUUUACAAAUUGUCGUUGACAACAGUAACAUGAAACCACAGAACCAAUAUCUCUAUGAAGCAGGUAGCCAUUACCUUUGGGCAGCAAGCAAACUGACGGCCAGUGUUGAGGAAGGUCCAAGAAAACUUCACCACUCCUCUCCACCCAUGAUCGCACUUGCUUUCAGGAUGCCAACGGGUAGUGUUGCAGAAAGAUGUCUCCGAGCAGUAGCUACCAAUGGAAAAAGAUGAUGGAAUACUUGGAAUCUUCAAAAAAGUCAUUGUAACUUGAAACCAAAGUUUAGUUUUGCACUUCAUAAACUAUAGCCUAUCAACUUCUAACACCAAUCAGAUGCAAACCUAAGUGUAGGACGAAAUCGGAAUCUACUGCCUUCAACCCAAAUCCCCAAUUCCAGAAAAUCCCCUUCCCUCUAAUGAAAGGGGAAAGUAGUGGCACAAAACAGGGGACUGACCUGACCGUAGCUCCUACUCCUCCCUUCGCUGCUAGGAUGCGCCAUUUCCGCUGCCCGUUGCAGUUGCGCACCUAUGCCUCUAGGCUCAAGUCUUUGCCACAGCCAAUAGGAGUGUGCUGGUGAGUCCCUUGCAAUGUACGCCAUUGCAGAUGUACCCGUUGCUUUGGCCUUCAACUGGAAAGUGGACCACACUUAAUAGAACUGUAAUAUAAAGAAGUUGCCUUGUUCAAAACCGAUAAAUUGCAUUAUGUCUCAGUGGUAGUGCUGAGUCGUCAGAAUCAAGAGGUCACAGGUUUGACCACUGCUCUGGACACUCUUACCUUUUUUAUUUUCCUCCCUUUUUAUCAUAGACUAACUUGUGGGACCCUGCUAGAUUUUAUGACGAAUUGGAACACUUUAUUUCUCAACUCAUACUUGCAUGGGGGAUCCUCCUCGGUGUAGGGCUACGAGGUAGGCUACGCUAGCGCAAAACAAAAUUUUUCUACCGCGUAAACCAGGAAAACUAUCGUAUAUGGAUCACGGGAUUACCACUCGAUGCACUGGUGCAGAAGAUGUAGAAUCGCGUCGGGGCAACGAAGUCGAUCAGCAUAGUCGAACACAUAGUCGAUCACGUCGACGUCGAGCAGCUCCUCAGCAGCUCGUCCACGUACAGCGAGGUCAUCCUCGUGCCGCGGCUCGUCAGCGGCUCAUCGUGGCUCGUCAUGGCUCGUCGGCGGCUCAUCCAAGUGCUGCAAGUGCAACACCUCCAAGGUAUCCACACGUGCAGGGAGGAAGCGUCGCAAGUCGGACUGCUAGGUCCGCGAGUUGCAACAGGGCGAGGGCAUGGGAGGCGUGGCAGAUGUGUUUCGGCCGAAGGGAUUAAACCCAGGGCGCCCCACUCCUCUAUUUAUAGAAGUUCCUGACGGGCCUCUGGGUCCGAGGCCCAUUAGUACUUCUAAACCUGAUCCAACAUGGAUCAUAUCCGAAUUGGACUUCCAGCUCCUUAAGUGUGUAACCCUAUGGGUUCGGAUAUGUAUAGACAUGGCCCGAGUACUUCUACUCGACCCAAUAGUCGAUAGCGGCCUCUAGCAAGACGUGCCAACUCCACGCACACGAAGAUCAUAUCAGACGAACCGUCACAACAUCACGUACAUGCUAUUCCCUUUGCCUCACAAUAUUUGGUCUAGCUUCAAGCCGACCGCUCUUUCUCGAUCCUGUGAUUCGAAAUCCCUUUGUAGGUUAACUCUUAACCGUACGUAGCAAGGCCAUGCAUUUUUGGAUCCGAUCACUCGAGGGGCCCAGAGAUAUCACUCUCAAUCAGAGAGGGGCAAAUCCCAUCUUGAUUGACCAUGUCUCACAGCAUGCUUCUUGACAAAUCCGAAAGCUACCCUUUUAACUACCCUGUCACGGUGUAGCGUUUGAUAGGCCCUAAGUAAGUCGAUCCACAUCUUGAGUACAUGCGACAAUCUCAGGUCUAAGGACAAAGCGUACAUGUUGUGUAAAGAGAGAACUACUCCUCGUGUUGGGUCAGUCCUAGCACAUGUCUCUACAUAUACCUACAUUAUUAGUUUGAUAUUUCCAUGUCCAUGACUUGUGAAACAUAGUCAUCAACUAAUACAUGUACUAGUCUAAUAUUCAUGUGUGUCCACACAUGAACUCCGACUAGGGACAACUUUUAGAAUAACCAUACAAGUAAAGAGUUCCAGAUACAAUUCACAUAAUUGCAGAUCAAUUCAAGUAGCCUUUAAUGGAUAUUCAAUGAACACAAUAUACAAAUCAUGGAUACAAUCAGAUAUCAUCAUCUCUAUGAUUGCCUCUAGGGCAUACCUCCAACACUCGGUUUAUGAUAUUUUUUGCACACCUUAUUUUUUAACAAAUGUUUACAUGUGGGACCCUGGUUAGUUUAUGACGUUUUCGUGGACCUUAUAUUUUCACAAAACCACCAUGUAACAGCGAGUGAUAAUUUUUUUCUACAAUGGCAACUUUUAUGAUGUUCCGUAACUUUAUCACUAAAUUUGCUCGGAUGUGAAACUUUAUAACAUUUUCAGCCAGAAACAUCAUAAAUCUAUGAUAAGAACAAAUGUGUCAUAAAAUUUUCAUCACAGAUCCACACAUUUCUUGUAGUGUAGUUACGAGACGAUAUAUUUCUCUCUUAUUUUCCUGCCCUCUCCAUAUCAGACAAAAUCCUAGUGGCACCUUUUCUAGGUAGUAUAUAUGUUUUUUAAGUUGCAUCACAGUUAAUUAAAAAAGUAAACUAGCAAUUGAAUUCUUCGUGAUGAAAAUACAUGUCCACUCCCCUGGCUCACUAGUGCUCCUUGCCACGGUCGUCGUGAAUGGGCUGCCAUAUGAAAGUAUGCUUUGCUUCCCACGUACAAAGAUUUGCUCCUGUUUGACCGGGGUAUUCGUUACCUAGAGGCUCAAGAGCCCAAAAAAUACAGGUAACACAUUGGUGUAUUGGUGUUACAUUGGAUUUGUCAAGCGUGCAUGGCAACAAAUCAUCAUUGGAGCCAGGAGGUGAGGAUUGCGUACGUUGAGGUUGAAUUGGGCAACUAACAUCAAUAUAUGGAGAUCGAUUCCUUUUGUUUGGGCUGCGGGCUCCCAUGUAUCCAUGUUUCUCUGCUCAAGGAUAACAUAAGAGUGAGUAUACGGGAAGUGGCUGUGGAUGAUCUCUCUUGCCAUGCGCAAAGAAUGAAAUGAAUUUCGUAGCUCCCUUAGGACAUGCAAAGUUUCUUUUUAUUCCCAACUCCCCCACUUGCUCCUGACCUACCCUAACUCUACGAUGCCUCUUGUGUUUCUCCUAAGUUGUUCUCUCAUGAGACGAAUAAUCUUCAUUAUCGGUUCCAUCCUCUCGUUCGCCAAGGCAAGUAAGUUGGGCAAUCUCCAGGUCCGCUCGGCUCCACUACUACACAAACCAUCAUCACCGCCACCUAUAUCACUGCCGGAUUUUGUCAAACCGGUGAUGAUAACUCAUCACCGUCGAAUUUUUACAUGAUCCGACGGUAAAACCAUAAAUCAGCAGUGAUAUUACAAUAUCACCGUCAGGUCAAAUAAUGAGCCGGCGGAGAUAGGUAUCACCAUCGGACAGUAUUACAAACCGAUGGUGAAGGGGUGUCUCGGAGCUUAAAUUUUCAUGCGAUUCAGUUUUGAGAUCCUUGGCGUCCACGGCCCUCCCCUCCUCCCCCACCCCACGCCCACGGCCCUCCCUCCCACUCUCCCCUCCCGCAAUCUCCUCGACUCCUCCCUCUCCUCUCAUCCUCCGCCACCCGGAUCCCUCCCCCCUCCCACAAUCUCCUCUCUCCAUCUCCCACCAGCCCUCCCCCUCUCCCUCCGUCGUUCGCUUCCCUCCUUCCCUCGCUCUCCCUCAGCCAGCCCCCUCCCUCCCUCUCUCCCUCGGCUACCCCUCUCCUUCCCCCUUCGCUCGCCCCUCACUUGCGGCAAUGAGGAGCGGUGGUGAGACGAGAAGCGGCGGCAGCGCACGGGGAUCUGCAGUAGUGUGGAGCGCGCGGAUCUGUGGCUGCGUGGGGAGCGCGGAUCUACAGCAUGGAGCGGGGGUGGGGGGGUGCGGCGACGCAUCGCGGUGGGCAAGCAGCGACGGUGGUGGUGGCGACCCAUGGUGGCUGAGUAGCGGCACUGAUGGCAGCCCGUGGGGGCUCCGGCGAGGUACGCUGCCCCUCUAUCUCUCCCCCUUCUCCCUCUCUCCCCUAACCCCCUCUCUCUGGUUUCGCAGCGGGCGGCGGUCGGCCGGAUCUAGCGGGGCCGUGGCUGCCGGCGGCUGGCAGCUGGUGGGGCUAUAGGUUUCUUUUUGAAUGGGCAUCACCGCCGGUUGUUAGUUCAGCGGUGAUGCCCAUUCCCAUCACCACCAACCAUUUACCAUCGACUCCCAAAACCGGCGGUGGUGUAGGUUUGAGGGCCAACGGUGAUGAGGCAUUCUGUAGUAGUGCUCACCCAUUUCCAAAAGGAAUACUUCCUCUACCCAUCAAGCCUUCUCCGUUUCCUUUUACUGUUCCAAAUCUAUUUUUUGAAAUGAAUCAUGCAGAAAGAGCUGCCGAUUAUAUUUAAAAGAAGAAUAAGUUCAGAGUGGAUAGAAUAACGAACAACAACAUCGGCCGGUUGGAAUGGGACAUUAACACAUGCCACACCAACUCAACUCAACUCUCAACAACAUCGGCUGAUUAGAUUGGAACAUCGACACGAGCCGCACAAUGCAAAGCACAACUCAACUCAAUUCAACAAGCAACACCGGCCAUUUGGAUUGGGACAUCAACACAUGCCGUACCAACUCAAUUCAACUCUCCACAGCACCGGCCGGUCGAAUUGGGACAUUGACACGAGCCGCGCAACGCAUAGCACCGCUUAACUCAAUUCAGCAAGCAUUGUCAGCCGAUUGGAUUAGAAAACACAUGCUGUACAAAGUCUUCGCUCGGCUGAAACUCCUCAACUUCACCGCAGCUAGCCUCAUCACUGCUGCAGCAUCGCCGGCCGCCACUCCACUAAAUGCCACCACCAUGACACCAGCAGAUUUUUUCUUUUUUUGGGAAAGUAAAAGAAAGGAAAGAAAAACGCCCAGCCGGCGGUCGCGGCGAGCGAUGUCGAACGGGUCUGCCUGACGAUGCUUUCAAGAAGGUUAUGACGCCAAAUCUAUAUUUAGUUUGUGAUGCGAGCUUCAGUCCAUUAUCCCUCGGUAGUUUGGAGCUAGAAUUUAGUUGGGAGUGUGGAUUUAGUCCAUCUCGUUCAACGAGGUUCGGACUCAUCAAAUUUGAGGUUUUAAGGGUUUGAGAUGAUUUUGAGAGUUACAGUUCCUCCUACUAGCCUGAGCUUGUGUUGAAAGAAUUUCGGUAACUUUGCUAUUAAUCUUAUUGUCUUGUCACAAUCGCUUCAUCACCAUCAAUGUUUGUUUUUAUGCAUGCAAUUCUAGUAUCAGCGUGCUUGUGUCAUAUAUCAUAGGCAUUCUUGUUUUCUCCUUCCUCUGUUUUUUGCCACUAUUAUCGUUAUCAUGAGUGUAUUGUUGGUCGAGCUAUUAUGCUGCUCAUUUUUGGCAAGUUGUGGCGCUUUGCUGAUGCUGCUUCUGUCAUGUCAGAAUAUGUUUCUAUCUUACUUCUAUUCAUGUUGCAGCUACAUUUUCUUUUAUCACUGUUCUUAUUACCAUGCCGCAUUGGAUAAUUACUUAACUGCAUGAAAAUAAGCAAGUCGAUGUUUGACCAUCAAUGGGCCGAUACAGUUUUUAGCAUAUAUCUAUGCUGGUGACGCUGACACUAGAGGAGCAUCCUGUUGGGAAUUUGGACUGCAUCAGCGGUGGCAUUAGAUUAAACAUGCAGCACAAUAUAAACAUGCAGCACAAUACAGCUUGAAUGCAAAUAUUCAUCUAUGCUUGAACUGUAAAAUAUGUUCUUUUUUAUUUUUGGAAAUUCUCCUUUAAGGUGUUUCCGCUCCAUCAAAAGCCAUUUUGUUACUUAUAGGCCAAAUGGUCCUUUAAGUCCAAAUGGCAAUAAUUCUUGCAUUUUACGGAACUAAAGUUUAAAUAUGACAAGCGAUUAUUCUAGGAAAAAAAAAGCGAUGAAAAUUUAUUUAUCAUACAAAGGACAAUGGUUAAUAUAGACUAUUGCCUCUCUGAGCAAUAUGCAAAAUCCAAAUGCAGCAAGUUGUUCUCAACUAAAAUCCAAUAUGUAACAAUUAUGGCAGAACAAAAUUAAAAUGCUACAUAGAUAUCUCUGAACAAUGAACAACCUAAACCUUCUGGAGCAUCACUUCUGUCCUAAAAUCCAACCUACAACCAUG
RNAcentral lists this long non-coding RNA (73944 nucleotides) under Setaria viridis. RNAcentral's name for it is "long non-coding RNA (SVIR_LNC000700)". The record is from RNAcentral. Lineage: Eukaryota; Viridiplantae; Streptophyta; Magnoliopsida; Poales; Poaceae.